AAGAAGACAGAAAACAAACUCUAAAGCCAGAAUGCUCACGUGGUAUGGACUUGAAGAAAAGGUCAGCAACAUCCUGAUGGUGUUUCCGGAGAAAGGAGGCUUGUCCAGUAUAUGCCAAUACAAGAGCUGGGUAUGUGACAGCGCACAUACUUAUUUGAAUUGAUCGAACUGUGAAGUGGCCAACAUCAGCAAACAGCGCCUCCGUCCCUGCAUUUUCCCGAAAACAAUCUGAGAAAUUUCUCAAGUUAAUGAUGGAGGAGAAUUGAUUAUUGAUCCAAAUCCAAACCUGUUAUGGAGAGGACGGCCCCACCAAGGGAAAUCCAGGCUUCUUUCUUGUUCCUUCUAAAGUAAUUGAUGAUGUACUUGGGAUUAAUGGCUUUAACAACUGUUGGAUCAAACUUGAUGAAGUUGUAGACCCCAAUGCCGCUAAUUAACGCGAACCAAACACAGAUUAUUGGAGCAAAACUGUAUCCAACUUUGUCAGUUCCAAAUCUUUGAACCAUGAAAAGACACACCAAGAUGGCUACUGAUAUCCAAACAAUCCUAUCUGUGUCCAAGAAAAAAGUUAUUUAACUUUGUCAGUUCCAAAUCUUUGAACCAUGAAAUAAAAUUUAUUUACAUUUUUCAACUGAGGAAAAAAUAAAAAUAAAAUAAAAUAAAAUAAAGAAAGAAUGGUGAAUAAUAUGAUUAUAUAUAACCAUUUAAAAAAAAAACUUAUGAUAUGGGAAUUUUUUAUUGUAUUUAAUAAUUUAAACUUUUACCUUUUUAUCAGUCACGAUUGAGAGGACAAGUCAAAAUAUUAUUAAGAAUAAUUAUUCGAGGAUGUUAUUGUAAGUUGAAAGGAUUAUUUUAAAUUUGUCAACAGUACAAACCCAUUAUUUUAUUUAUUUUCUUUUUCCUUAAAGAGGGUAAAGAUUCUAAGUUAAUAAGCCAUUGGAUUAAACACUUUUGUCUACACUUUACUAGUCAAAAUUGGACAAUCUGUUUUUUUUAUCAAUUAAUUUGGUUCAAUUCAAUUUUUUGUAAUUAAAAGGAGUAAAAUAAUUAUAGAUUUACAAAUCUUAAAAAAAUAAAAAAAUAACCUACAAAAAUGCCAUUCCUUUUUUUUUUUUUAUUUUAAAAAAAUUAUCCAAAUGUUAGAUAAAAAAUUUAUUGUAGUAGUUGAUUUUAAAAGUUGAGAAAGAUUACCUUGUGUCAUUGAAUCUGUAACUUCCUUGAUGCCACCCACAGCAGAUAAAACUAUGACAUGCAAAGUCAAAUAUCAAAUAUACAAUAAAAGACUGAAGGACGAAACCCAUUUUCUUUGUCAACAAAAAUCCAACUAAGGUGGUGUUUAUAUUUUACUUAAUUUUUAAUAGAACCUUAAUACUUAAUAAUGUUAAAUAUUAAGUUAUUUGUUUUUGUAGUAUUUUAUUUCUAUUAAAUAUUAAAAAGUAAAGAAAAACCAAUAUAUUAUAUUUUUUUAUUUAGAAAAAACUAUAUAUUUUGGUUUUUUCUAUUUAGUAAAAAGUUUAUAAUAAGUUAUGAAAAAGUAGAAAAACAAAAACCUAAUUUCUGAAAACAAAUUGCUUUCAGCAAAAAACCAAAAAAACAAACACCACCUAAAUUAAUUUGCAGUACCACUAGUAGACAAGAGACCCAUCCUAAUUCCUAACUAUAAGAAAAAUUCAUCCUAAUUCCUAACUAAUAAGAAAAAUUAAUAAUAAAGAAGAAAGUUGAAUGCAUAUUCUGCCAUAUACAUAUAUCUACUUAAAUUAGUCAUAAGUAAUUUUCAAUGAUAAUAAAAGAUAACUUUAAAAAAGCUAAGCACAAGAUUUUUUUGGCAACAAAAAUUUGUAAAAGGAAAAGUCAUUUAUUAUGGAAGAAAGAAACCUUUUAAAUAUCUCAAACUAACUAAAAAAGGAUGAUGUAAAUUAUGGUUGUUUUUUAUUUUUUAUAGUAAGAAAAGUAUUUCCAAAAAUGGUAGCGUGAUAUGGUUUUUACUUUCCAAAUAAGAAAGGUAUCUCCAAAAAAAAUGAUACUGUGACAUGCUUUUUACUUUCUAAAGUAAGAAAAAGUAUUUCCAAAAAAGGUAGUGUGACAUGGUUUUUACUUUCCAAAGUAAAAAAAGUAUUUCCAAAAAUGGUAGUGUGAUAUGGUUUUUACUUUCGAAAAGUAUUUCCAAAAAAUACCAUGUGAAAACAAAGAUGAAAGGAAAAAAAUAAAAUCUUUUAAUAAAUGCAUAAGGAAAAAUAAAGGUGUAUGACAGUAUGUCAUUAAAUUUGUAUGUAAAUGUAAAGAAGGAUAAAAACUAAGCUAACCUGAGAUGCAAGGAGUGAGGACACCAUCACCAAUCACCAUGGAAGUGCCAAGCAUUGUAGCAAACAACAGAAAGAACUUAGCAAAGUUGCUCUUCUCUAGCUUAGACUUAAGCUUUGAUGCCAUCUGCAGUCUUUUACUAGGCAGCUCCAACCGGAAAUUGGAGACUUCUCUGUCCUCAGCCUGUUGACUAGGGAUCAACCCCACCUUGGCAUAUCGGCAUAUAAGAGAAUACAAAGCAAAUGUCCCUCCUGAAAAUUAUCCAGUGUUUAAAAGAAGUGUAUUCUAGGCUUAAUGGGCUAUUUUCCUCUUUUUUGAGUUAUAAUGUGAACCACAUAUUUAGAGUUGAAAAGGCAGAAAGGAUUAAAAAAAAGAUUCAUUGGAUUGAGUGCACAAUUGUCGAUCAUUAAUUAAGCACAUACGAGGGAAGUUUCCCUUCCCCAGUUGGAGCCUGCAUGGUUAUUUUCAAGGGCAAGUCACACAGUUUGAUACAUCAAAGUUGGCCUUCAAUGGUGUUUUUCACUCAUCUCAAGACUAGAAAAAAAUGGCAAAAAAAAAAGAAAAAAAGAAAUUAAUAAACCAUUUUGCCUGGUAUGGAAAAGUCUUAAUAUGUGGCAUAUUUCUAAUAAGAAAAGAUGAUGGGUUCAUGCCAUAAAGAAAACAAAAAAGAAAAAGGAAAGAUAGAAAAAGAAGAUCACAGUACGAUACAUUUCAAUUAAAAUCAAAGGUCGUUAAUGAUCAUGAGCUCUCACCCUCGCCAUUAUCAGUGGCCUUCAACACAGUCAAGACGUACUUGAAGAGAGGGAUGAGGGUGAGGGUGUAGAAGAUGAUAGAAAGAACCCCCAGAAUAUCAUCAUUAUGUUUGACACCAUCAGUGAAAGUGCUUGCAUACACGUACAACGGCGAAGUUCCAAUGUCCCCAUACACUAUUCCCAUGCUCUGAAACGCCAGGUGCAGUAUCACAGACCAGUCCUUGGUAUCCUUCAAAACAGAAAUUCAAAAGAUUAAAAUAUAUAUAUAUAUAUAUAUAUAUAUCAAAUUUUCUUUCUCCCAGUUUCCAUGCAUAAAGGGGUGGGGGGUGCAGACCUUGGAGCCAUGGUGGCUGUGGCCAUGUACAGUCCCGGACUCCAUGUCUAGGGAGUCCAUACGACGCAAUUUUCCCCGUGAGAGUUUCUUUGAUUUGAGGCCUUGAUCAUGGGUGUCAUCAGGGCUGUUUACCACAUCAGAAGACAUUUUCUAUGAUCUGAAAAGGGCUUUGAUUGGACCGGAGGUUAUGCAGAAGAUGAAGAAGGUGCAGAGGCCAGUUUAAAGGCACAGAAAGGUCUGAAAAGAGUGAACGAGAUGUUGAUGGGCAUCUCCAAAUUUACCUCUUGGUUUUGUGCUUAUUUACCUUCCAUGCCCUGCCCUCACUGUCGGUUGAAAAUAGAAAACCGCGUGGUUUGAUUUUAUGAAUGAGUAAACGAGAUUCCGACAGUGUUUUUUUACCAUUUAUUUUUCAAAUUUGUUGGAAAACGCGUUAUCAGUAAAUAAACUUACCCCAUAUUAGUCCAAUGGUUGAUAUCUGAAACCUAUUAUUUACUUUUUUUAAGAUAUGACUUCCUAUUAUAUUCCUUUACAAAUUUGAAAAUAUUUUUUGAAUUAGUAUAUUAUUAAAAAUAUUUUUUAACUAAUAUAUAUAUUUUAAAUUCUCACGCCUACAAUAAGGAUAUCCCAUCAAUAUUCCUAAAAACUUCUUUUUAUCCUUACGUUUUAAUUAAACGUGUGUUUUAAAGUGAUUUUAAAAAACGUUUAUAAUAUUUUUAAUAUUUAAAUAUAAAAAAUUUAAAUUAAAAAGAUAAAAAUUAUUUUCUAGAUUCUAAGCUUUCUUCAAUUUUGUUUUUUAUUUUUAAAAAUAAAAAUAGAGAUUACAAUAAUUUUUUUUUUUAAUGACUAAGUUAUUUAUGAGAAAAAUAUUAUAUUUAUAAUUUCUUUCAUCAUUAUUUUUCUUCUAUUAUCACAUACAUUUAAUUAAUAAAUUAGAUUUAAUUAGACUAAAAAUUCGUUUUGCAAUGUUUAAAAAAAUAUUUCUAAUGUUUCGUAUUUCACAAUAUUUGAUUGCACAUUAAAAGGAUACCCAAAAUUUAUUGUUUAAAAAUAAGUAAUAAAUUUGAGAUGGUGACAUCGGAACCCUACUCUCAUAUAUCGCCCAUAUAUCUCGAUAUUUUGUUCCAUGAUUGAAAUAUGCAUGGGGGAGUGUAGUGCUCCAUGAACUUUCCAGUGGGGUGAAAAUUCUGUAGCAUCACAUGCAGAUGCGUCAUAGUCAUAAUCACGUGUUAAACGUAUUCUUUCUGCAACAUCACAGAUCACAGGAAGCCUAUGAUGGUUGACCCUAAGAUGAAUUGCAUAUAUUCAUAGGCCUUGUUUGGAAAAUAUAAUAUCAAAAAAAUCACAACAAUCCGAGUUUAAAAAAAUACAAAUUUAUAUUCAAUUAUUCAGAUACUAUUUUUUUAAUAGUUUAAGUUCUAUCUUUGACUAUUUUAAGUAUCAUCUAUUUUAUGAUUAAAGAAAAGUUCAAUGAACACGACAUAGAGUGAUAAAAAAAAAAAGGACCAUGAAAUAAAACUUCUCCAUUUAAGAAGAUUCAUAAUAAUAAUAAUAAUAAUAAUUAAAAAAAAUAAAAUUAUUGAUAUUUCUCAUCCCCUUGAUAGAAAAGGAAAUUGGUUAUUGCUCCUUUAUAUUAUAGAGAUAGAAUUCUUGUCAAAUUCAUAAACUAACAUAAUGUCUAAUUCAUUUUCAUAAUGGAAAAUGUACUCUCUCCCUCUCAUCUAAAGAAGAUAACAUUGGUUAUUACUACUUUACAUUCAUAGAGAUAGAAUUCUUCAGAAUUCAUUAACUAAUAUAAUGUCUAAGACGCACAAAUUUCAAAUUGCUUUUGUGUAUGGCACACAUGGUUGUUGUCUAAAUAUGACAACUCUUUUCGUCAUUAAUUUUUUCAAGUUAUUUUUAUUAUAAUUUUAAUUUUUUUUUCAAAAAAAUCAUUUUAGAAUCAUAUAAAUUGUUAAAAAUUUAUUGAACAACAUUAAUUUUCUUAGCUAAUCCAUUAUAAAAAAUAAAUUAGGUAAAAUUUGAUUAGAGUUCUUUUUCUUUUUUGGUUCUUUUCUUCUAGUAAAACUAUAUUUUUAAAUUAAUAAACUCUAAAAUAAUGCUAAAUAUUUUUAAUUAGUUAUUGACUUAUUAGAUAUAAAAUUUAUUUAUUUAUAUGAAAAUUUUCAUGUGAUGAACUCUCAUUUAUUAGGAAAUUAUGAAAACUUGUAAUUUUUUUAAUUUUUAUGAUCUUAAAAUUCUCAAAUGGACCUUAAUUUGAAUGUUAUUAAUUAUUAAUGUUGUAUAUUGUAUGUAAAUAAGUAGUCUUUAUCCUUAAAAAAAUGUAUUUUGUUUAUUUGUAUUUUAGGAUAAAGAUAUUUGAAAAACAAUAAUUAAAAUAAAAUUAAUUUAAUAAAUUGUAGAAAAUCCUAAAAUACCAAAAUUUACUCCAUUGUUGUUUUAUAUAACUAAGAAAAAUAUUUGAAAAUUAGUAAUUUAAUAUAUUUCUAAAUAUCCUAAAAUAUCAAAAUGGAUUGUAAUACAAAAAUUUAUAAUGAUUAAUGAUGGGAUCACUUAAAAAAUUGGUAAUAAGAUGAUAAUUAGGGUUUCUAAUUAUGUUCAAUUAAGUAAAAAACACGUAAAGUUUUUUUAUGUUAAAUUCUACUUAUUAGUAAUUACUCAUAUACAUGAUAUAUGAAUAUAUAUAUAUAUAUAUAUAUAUAUAUAUAUAUAUAUAUAUAUAUAUAUAUAUUUCAAUUUUAGAAAAUUGUGAAUUUUUUCAGAUUGACUUUUUAUCCAAAUUAGUUAAUUUUAUUUUUUAGUAAUAUUUUUUUAGAAAGUAAAGAAAAUGACAAAAAAAUAUUUUAUAUUAAUUAUAUUCUUUUAUUUCUUGGGAUAAUUUUAUUAAUUUAUGAAAAAUUUAUUUUUGAGUCAAAUGUAUAAAAUUUAAAUAUUCAAUGAGAUACACUUCUUAGUUUUUUAUUUUUAGAAACUUUUGUACAAAAGUAGAGAUAUUAAUGAGUCAUUGAACUAUCUACAUGGUUGACAGCUCUUACAACUUUGGCACAACAACACAAUUAUCAGGGGCAUGUUGUACCACCAAGCUAAUAGUUCAUAGUACAAGUCUUCCAUUAGGGACCCACCAUGCCAAGAGCGAGUGAAACUUCAUCAUUCUUUUGUCUUUUUUUACUUCAAUAUCACCACAUAAGAGAGACAUGAGGACGUAAAAUAAGGUUUUAUCAAUUUGUUCUCACCCAACAUAAUAAUGACAUGAGUUUGGUUGGUCUUCACCUUAUAUGGUGAAUACAAUGAUGGUCACUUUUGCAAAUUGAAACUUAAAGAAUGUAAGUGACAAUAUAAAAAAAAUGAUAUAAUAAAAAUCAAUAUAAUAACAAAUUACAAAUAAAUAAAUAAAAAAUAAAGAGGAAAAAAAAUAUAUAAACACAAUAUUUUACAGCAAUUUGACACAACCCAACUUACAUUUACUUUCCUCAAGUUUUCAAUCAGGGGACAGAUUUUUUAAUAAGGUUUCUAACUCAAACCUUCAAGUUUACAAUGGACCAUAGUUCCAAUCAACUUUCUUGGACUUCUAGCUCCAAAUACCCUUUUGGAUUAUUGUUUUAAAUAUUCUUUAUAACAAAAAAUUUCAAUAUAAAGCAUUAUUUUCAAAAUUGGAUCAGAUAUUGAACCAAAAAAGUUAUCGAUUCACCGGUCGAACAUGUGAUUUAACCGCGGUCAAAUCGGUGAUAUUAUAAAUAUAUAAUUUAUAUUUUAAUAAAAUUAAUAUAUAUAUAUAUAUAUAUAUAUAUAUAUAUAUAUAUAUAUAUAUAUAUAUAUAUAAUUUUUUAAUAAUAUUUUGUAUUUUAUAUUUGAUAUGUCAAAUUAAAUAUUAAAUGAUAAAUAUAAAUAUAAAUGUAUUAAUAUAUUAAAUUUUAUUAAAUAGAACAAUAUUUAAAUAUGAGGAUAUAUUCAAGAUAAAAAAUUAUAAUAUUUAAAUUAAUUGCAUAUAUAUAUAUAUAUAUAUAUAUAUAUAUAUAUGUAUUUUGUUAUUUUAAAAUUUUAAAAACUAUUAUAUUAAUUAAUUUAUGUUAUUUUUUUAUUUAUAAUUAAUAAUUAUUAUACCAAUAAUGGUAGAUAUAAAUAUUUAUAUUUAUUUAAAUGUUCUCUAUGAUAAAAAUUUAAAGUAGGAUAUAUACGUAUUUUCCAUGUUAUUGACCAAAUAGCUAUGUAAGUUGGUGGUCGACCACUCAUUAUGUAAACCACAUGUCCUAGGUUUCAAUUCCCCUCCAUGUGAAGCUUAUUUUAUUAUUACUAAGGCCUAACCUCUCCCACAUUGAAAUUCUACAAAGCAUUUAUGUAGCAUUUAUACCUUUACAUCAUAAGUGAAAGUAAAUUGCCAUAUAAUACAAUAAAUGGGCUUGGAAGAAAGUGAGAAAUGAGCUAGAAAAUUGUGGAAACCAGGGUGGAAUUUGGUUAAACCAUAAUUGACUAGUUCAUGAGAAAUUGGAUAGUUUGUCUGGUUUGGCGAUUGAAUUGUCGAUUUAUUUUGUCCAACGACGGUCCAUUUCACUAGAUCAGACCAAAAAAGCCAUCAGUCGAUGGUUAAACCGGCCGGUUCGGUCCAUUUUUCAAAACAAUAAAAUUAAGGUUGAAUGAUACAUUAAAAUAAAAUGCAAGUUUAAAAGUAAAUGCAUAUCUAAAAACACUCUCUUGGUGCUUCAAUUAUAUUAAAAAAUAAUUUAGAGCUCUUUCUCGUUCAAAGAAGAGUUGAGAGCCACUAGAUAUAAUUUGAGUACUAAUUGACCAACCAAUAGAUUAACUACUAAUCAUCAAGGUUACCAUUUCCUAACAAACUCAACUGAUUGAGACUUAGUUUAACCUAGUUGAAUCAAGGUUAUGCCAAUGAUUGGAGCCAAAAUAUGUGCUCCAAUGGCACAUAUAUAAUAUAAUUUAUACAAUAUAAAAAGCUCAAAUCAUCAAACUUAACUUAAAUUGAUGCUAAAAUCCUAACUAUGGAUCUAACUUCCCUUUUUGAACCUAAUUCCAAAUCUAAGGGGUGAAAAGAAUGCUUAGUACAAAUUUCAUUCUCAACCAAGGGAGUAGAAAAGGUUAAAUAUACAUAAAUGAGAGACUUCAGACUCUUGAACCAUAAAUAGUCCGAAUAAGAGCAUAAUGAAAAAACAAUAGGCAUGAGAUACUAGUAACGAAUGUUAUGAAGUGAGAUAGAAGGAAAUAAAUCAUAAUGAAGGAAGUUUGAAGCAAAUACAAUCAAAUUCACAUGGAAAUUAGGAACUCAAAAUUUGGCUAUAACAAGCACUCUAAAUUUGAGGUGAAAUUUGGAGGACUUCCCAAAGUCAUUUUUAAGCAUGUUAUGUAUCAUUUCGAAGUUUGGGAAGUCAAGAGUCUAACACUUCAAAUGAUGUGCAAAUUAGAACUGAAAUGAGGAAGUUAUGUGCAUUAGAAGUGAAAUAGUAGUAGGUAAGUUCAAAAUUCAUAGUGAAUUUUGAACUCACCAUGGUGAUUUCAAAUUGGAACUUUUCAUCCAUUUAUGAGCUCAAAAUUGAUUUGGAACUCACCUCAAUUUUGAAUUCAACAGUUGGUGAUUGAGUUAUAGCUCUAAAACAUACUAAAAAUGAGUUUCAAAUGCCUUAAUCUAAUUCAAAAUGCAUUUUACUCAUUUAGAACUCAUAAUAUUUAGAGUUUUUUUAGGUUGUUUAUAAUUUUUCUUUGUAAUAAGUGGCCAAUGGAAGUGUAUCACAUGUUAGGUUAUUGAAUUUAUUAAAAUUUUUUACUUCUAGGUUUUGAAGGAGGAAGAGAAAAAGAUAGAGUGUAGGAAGUGAAUCUCCUCUUAAAAGUCUUUAAUAGAGUUUAAGGUUUUCUUUUCUUUUUCAAUCUUUCUAUUUUAUUUUCUCGGCAACCAAACAUGGGUUGUAAGAAGAAGCCCUCCAUCAUGUUUGGCUAACUUGAUUAAUCCAAAUAUGCUAACAUGAUGAAGGUGAAGAAUCCAAAAAAAAAAAAAAGCAAUAACACGACAAAGUAUGAUUUUCUUUAUGUUUUCAAGAUUUAAUUGAUAAGAAUAAAUCUUUUACGUGAGUUCACUGUAGAUAAAUUACAAAUGAUUCUUAUCAAGAUAGUAGUGAUUAUUGAGAAGACAUUGAUCACUAAUUACUAUAAUUUGAUCUUACUAUUAACGAAUUUAAGGGUCAAAUCUACAAAGAUGGAUAUAGCCUUUGAUUGAAUAAAACUGAAAAUCAAAAUUGACUAGCACCUAUCAUUGUGAGUUUGUAUUGGGGAUUGAUACAGUAGAUUAUUACCCGUUACUAGUGAUUUUUGGUAACUUCUAAUCUUUAGUUAUCCUAGUCUUUUUUAUCCUUAUUUUUUCUUAAAACAAAGAUACAAGGAGUUGGAAAUGUCAAAAAGUCAAACUUUGAACCAAUAAUUAAUUUUUAUUCUCAUUCACUUGAUGGUUUUAGAAAUAUGUUUUAAAAAAGAAAAAAAACUAAGUUUUGGAUGUAACAUUAAUCUUAGGAUUCAAUUUGGUUGUGGAUUGACUUUGAUCUUACACCCUAGAUUUUAUAAUGCUAUCCUUCUAAGGAUUUGACCUUAGAUUAUGAAACUCUCUGGAACAUUCCUUUUUUAAUUUGAUUUAGUUCAUUUAAUAUUCAAGAAAUCUUUAUUGAUAUUUUAUCCCUAUUUAUUUAAAUUAUGAUUUUAUUAUCUUAAACAAAUAAUUAAUCUUUUUAAUCUAAAAACAAAUAAACACGUUAGAGAUAAUUCCAAAGGAUGACACCCCAAAAUAUUAUCAAGCCAUGGUAAUUCUAUCUCUGGUUUUUCUUAGCUAGAGUUAUCAAGUAUUUAGGUUUUAGUAUUUUAUUUUCAAUAAAGUUGAGCAUUUUUGCUCUCCUCAAUUAGUUGAGUCUAACCGCAUUAACCGGUUCUCUUGUACCUCAAUGGAUUGCACAUUUUUCAGAUUGAAUUAAGGUUGGUAAACCUCGAUUAAUAGCUCCUCAAUCUUUCAAACCUUUAAAAAUAUUUUACUCACAUUAAAACUUAGAUUUUUCCUUACAUCAAUUUUUUUCAUCUAAUUUAUAAAAGAAUGCAAAACAAUUUAGUACUUUAAUGACUUUAGGUGUUUAAGUAAAAAUGAAAUGUAAUAUGAAUUAAUAGGCCAAUAACUUUACAAAGGGAUUCUAUAAAAAUUAUCUUUAAAUACCAUUUUUUAAGGUAUUAUCCUUAUUAUUGAUUUUUUUUUUCUACUUGAUAAUUGCUUUUAUGGAAAUUUUCUUACCUAAGCACCCUUGGGAUAAAUCAUUGGUUUUCAACUUUGUUAUGUUAUCAUCAAAAUCAAAAUUAACUUCCUUAGUUUUAUAGCAUGUUGUACUACUAAGCUAAUAGCCCGUUGUGUAGGCCUCCCACCAAGGGAUCAACUAUGCUAAAAGUAAGAAGAAACACAUCCUUCUCUAUUAGCCUAAGGGUUUCCCUAAGUAUGUUUUGAUGAUAACAAAUCAUGGUUAGUUUGCUAAUGAUCAAAAAUCAAGUUAAGUUUUAAGAGUUAAUCAAGAAAAUCAAAUGAAAAAUCAAAGUGAAUCAUAAAGGAUCCAUGGAGAGCAAGAUCAAGUAUAUAUGAAGACCCAUCAAGCUUAGGAACCCUACGUAAGAUAAGUACUUGAGUGCACCUAGUAUUUCUUUUUAAGAAUGCAUCUUUUCCAUGCUCGUUUUAAGCCUUAAAAAUCAUAUUUUUAUAAACUCGAUUAUUGAUCUAAAAACCUUAGGCAAAACUACUUAAAUUUGUUUUAUAAAAGUAUUUAAAGAUGUUGUCUAAGUGUUAAAAAAAAAUGAAAUUGAAAAAGAUAGGUUUUGAGUUAAAAAUGUCCAACCGAUUGAAAAUGAGUUGAACCAACUCGACCGGUUAAGGAAUUGGUCAAUUAGUUUAAUUUCUUGGUCAAGGAGUGCAAAAACUUUCUCUUUCUUUCAAAAUGAUUGCUCUCCUAAACGAGAGAAACCUUUUCCUAGUCGAUGGUAUCUUAUUUCUCAGUUGAGGUUUAGAGGAGUCCUAACGGUCACCUAUCAAGCAUUAAAUGUCCAACAGCUAGUCAAUCGAUGUCGAACCGGAGCUUAACUGGGAAAGGCCUAUUGGUGAACCUUAUGGUGUUCGAGGUUAUAAACCUAUAAAUAAAGAGAUCUCAUUCAUUCAUGAUAUAGAGAAUACUUGCAUUCAACUCUCUAUCUACUUGUUUCUCACAUUAAAAGCUCUUUUUCAUUCUUUAGUGUAAUAAACUUUCAUUUGCAAAUCAUGCUUGGCGCACCUUUGUUUUCAUCCUAGUUUCUUUUGUACUUGCAAAUUAACUGUACUAGGAUUGAGUGAUUCCAAAUUCUCUUGAUUAAAGUAAGGUUGAGUGUUUAAUCUUCAAGUUGGGGGUAAACUUGAAUGGUUUAUAGUGCCUAUUAGAGUCGUGCAUCCAAUUGUAAGAGCAUAGAAGCUUGGUUAAAGCUUCACACUAAUUGAACGCUCACUUGGAAGGAGUUUAAGGAGAAAUGAACAUAGGCGAGAAUUGUCGAACCACUACAAACCAUGUUUGCAAUUUCUCUUACUUUUGUGUUUUUACUUUUAUUGUUCUUUUAAUUGUUACUUAGGAGUAGUUUUCAAAAAAGUUUUUAAAAUUCAAUUUACCCUCCCUUUUGACUAUUUUUCUUAGUGAAUUAGCCUUUAAUUCACAUUUUCUUUUCUUUUUUAGUUCAUGACCAUGUAAGAAGGACACGAGGAAGUAGAAAAAGAUCUUAUCAACUUGUUUCGAUUCAAAAUAAUAACCACAUGAGCUUAGCCUUACUUCACCUUUGAGAAACGAAAGAAGACAUUUCAAAAAAGUACAUAUUUAUCUUUGUUAGCCCAAGGGUUCUCCUAAUCAUGUUUUUAUAAUAACAAAUCAUGGUUAAGUUGUUAAUUGGUUUGAAUUAUAAAGAAUUUCAAGUGUUAGUUGGAAAAUUCAUCAAAGUACCUAAUUGAUGCAAGAUCAAGACAAUUGGAAGAACCUUUAAUCAUAGAAAACAUAUGUAAGAUGAAUGCAUAGGUGCACUUAGGAUUUUCAUAUAUUUUCAUGCAUCUUUAAAAACUCGAUUUAUGCAUUAGAGUUGCAUUUCCAUCAAAACCCGAGUUUUAUCAAAUGAACCUUAGAAAAAUCAUUUCAAAAUCGACAUAUUAGUUUACCUAAAGACCUUGUCUAAGUAUUAGAAGUGAAAAGAAUAGAAAAAGAUAGGUUUACAGACCAAAAAUGGUGAACCAGUCGAAGCACUAGCCAACCGGCUCAACCAGUUAGUGUAUCAGUCAAUCGGUUACACCUUUCCGGUUGAGAGAUGCAAAAAAAUUUCUCUAUCUUCUAAUAGUCUUGCAUUCCCGAUCGAGAGAUAUGCAUUCCCAAUAGAGGUCUGAUCAAGGACCGAUCGAGGCCUAACGAUCACUUUCUAUGCAUUUAUUGCCCAAUGGCUAGUCAAUCAGUUGACCCCCGACUCUUUGAGGCUAAUUUUUGACAUUUUUGGCUUUCAAAGCUAGAAACCUCUAAAUUGAGAAUUCUACUUCAUUUAUGAGUAAGAGAAUACCUACAUUUAUUUGUAUACUUACUUGUUCUUACCUCAAUAACUCUCAUUCUUUCUUUGGUGCAUUAAAUCUUUAUUUGCAUAUGCUUUAGUACACCCUUGUAAUUCAUCCUAGCAUUUGAGUUGUAUUUAAGCUUUUGUUGAGUUAGGUUGAGAUAUUUGAAUUUGUUAUUUGAGUGUUAUAAGCUUCAAGUGAGUAGAGACUUGAAGAGAUUGUGUAAAAACUCAUUGAAGUCAGAAUCCAAGUGUAAAGAUGCUAGAAGCUUGGUUGAAGCUUCAAGUAUAGUGAAACCUUCACUCGGUUAAGAGCUUGAAGAGAAUGGACGUAAGCAAGGGGUGUCAAACCACUAUAAAAUUUGAGUUUACUUCCUCUAACCUUAUCUCUUUAUAUUUGUGUUUUCUUUGCUUGAAUUUGUUAUGAUUGAAAAAUACAAAAAAUUAAAACUCAAUUCACCCCUCAUCUCGGGUGUUUUCUUCAUUAAAAUUAUCCUUUAUUUUCUUAAUCUUAAUAUUUAAAAAUCACUUUUAGAAAAUUUAAAAUUUGAGAUUUAUAUACUUUAAUUUUUUUAAAUAGUUUUAAAACUAUUACAUUUUCAAUAUAAGCAUUUAAAAUUUUUUAUAUCUUAUAUAAAAGUUAUUACUAUUUUCUAAUUUUAAAAAUGGAAAAUAGGAAUGACAUUCAAAUGAAAACUAAGUAAUUUGAUGUAUUUUAAAGUAAAGAAUAACAAAAUAAAAUAAAAUAAAAGUAAAUUUAGUUUUAUUAUGAGAAAAAAACAAGAAUGGAUGUUAUCGAAGUUAAAAAAUAAAAAGAUAAUAGAGAAAAAAAUUCUAUUAAGAGAAAAUUAAAAUUAAAAUUUUUAUUAUGGUAAAAUUAUUUUUAAAUAGGUAAAGUCAAGCAGCUUUAAAAUUUCUAAUUUUAAAGCAGUUCAAUUCAAGAUUUAAGUUAAAAAAUACAAAUUGGGUUUAAUUUUGAAUUUGGUUUUUGAAUUAAAAGAAAAUUUUAAAGGGAGCGGUUUUUUUUUCCUCCAAAAAAAUUCUUUUAACCUAUUUUUUUUCUUUAAAAAAUUAUUAUUUUUAAUGAACGGUGGCUUUGGGCCACAAAAAAGGCCUAAACGGCCCACCCCAACCCAAGAAGGCUUUGGGUAUUUUCUCGCAUUUUCUUAGAGCUCAUUUUCAAGAAAAGUCAGAGAAAAAGGGUUUAAGUCAAAGGUUUAUCCAUCGAAAUGUUUCCAGUCAAUUCACUUACAAAUUUCAAUCUCUUGGCGGUUUGAUUUUAUGAAUUAGUAAAGGAGAUUAUGAGUGUCUUUUUUUACAAUUUAUUUUCCAAAUUUAGAAGAAAACGCAGUAAAGAAACCAAUAAUUUGUUUUUCAAGUUUUGCAUUUUCUAAAUUUAUGAUAUUUUUUUGGUAUUAAUUAAAAGAUAUAUUUUGAAGAGCUCACUUCCAAUUAUGAGCUCUCACCAUCGCCAUUAUCAUUGGCCUUCAAAACAAUCAAGACGUACUUGAAGAGAGGGAUGAGGGUGAGGGUGAGGGUGUAGAAGAUGAGAGAAAGAACCCCCAGAAUAUCAUCAUUAUCUUUGACACCAUCAGUGAGAGUGCUUGCAAAUGAGUACAAAGGCGAAGUGCCAAUCUCCCCAUACACUAUUCCAAUGCUCUGAAACGCCAGGUGCAGUAUCACAGACCAGUCCUUGGUAUCCUUCAAAACAGAAAUUCAAAAGAUAAUAUAUAUAUAUAUAUAUAUAUAUAUAUAUAUAUAUAUAUAUAUAUAUAUAUUUCUUUUUCCCAAUUGCCAUGCAUGCAGAUACAUAAUAACAAGAAAAUGAUAUCAGGAAGGGGGGGGUGCAGACCCUGGAGCUAUGGUGGCUUUGGCCAUGGACAGUCCCGGUCUCCAUGUCUAAGGAGUCCAUACGACGUAGUUCUCCCCAUAAGAGUUUCUUUGAUUUGAGGCCUUGAACAUGGGUCUCGUCAGGGCUGUUUACUACAUCAGAAGACAUUUUCUAUGAUCUAUGAUCUGAAAAGGCUUUUAAUCAAACUACUUUCUGGAUGGUUUGCAGAAGGUGGAGAGGCGCCCAUUAAAGGCACAGAAAGGUCUGAAAAGAGUGACGAAGAAACGUGAAGUUCAAGGUGGGAGAUGUUGAUGGGCAACUAAAUUUUAUGCUUCUGGGUAGACAAUGGCGCGGUUUGAUUUUAUGAAUUAGUAAACGAGAUUAUGAGUGUUCUUUUUUACAAUUUAUUUUUCAAAUUUAGUAGAAAACGUGUCAUCUAAUUGAAUUUAUUUCUUGAUUGAUCUCAGAAACAGCAGGCCUCUGUGUCCAAAAAUGACGUUUGCAUUAGCACAAGUAGACGUGAGUCUGUGACCAGGCCUCUCUGUACAAAAAUAAGACUGUGCAAACACUUAGAGCUCAGCACAAACAGCUGAUUAAGAAAGCAGAGAAAGCAGAGAGUAGCAAUGGUAUCUUCAAAUUUUGCCAUGCUUUCAUUACUUCUCAUCAGCUUGAGGGACAGCUUCAGAUGCUUUUGCUUUUAAAAAUAGAGAGGUUGUUCUCCGAAUCUUGUUUUUAUUUUUAUUUUUAUUUUUAUUUUUAUUUUUAUUUUUAUUUAAGUUAUAACUUCAAAACAAUUGCCAAACAUGUAAAAAAAAAAAAUUUUAAAGUUGUUUUCUAUUUUUUAAAAACCGUUUUUAAAAAUUUCAACAAACAUGCUCUUAAUCUUACAUAAUGUUUUCAAUUUAAAAUUGUAUUUGUACUGUUUUAUUUUUUUAAUUACUAUAUAUUAUUUUGAAAAUUAGAUCGGACCCAACUGAUCGAUCGGUGGACUUUCCGAUUUGGUCCUCUCUAUUAAAUCAGACAUUUGAACCAGCCCCAAAACCGUUGAACCAACGGUUAAACCGGUGAACUGCCUGAAUUGGGUGAUUCCAUAUGACUUGAACGAUUCAAUAUUUUUUGAAUGUGGGAAUGAUUUAUGAGCUUUGAAACAUGGGGAAGGAGAUGAUCAACAAAAUGUCUCAUUAGUAUCAAGUGAUAAGGCUGCUUGUAGCUAGCUAGCAUAGCUAAAAAAAUUGUAGCAAGAGUAAUUCUCUUCUCAAGCAUGUACAGCUAAAAUUCAACCAGAAAGGCUUAGUUACAAGAAAGAAGUUUGUAGUAAAGGUACAGAUGUGGAAUGGGAAUUUAUAUUAAUUAUAUUUUGGACUUUUUAUGAUAAGUUAAAUAUAUAAAACAAAAGUCGUUUUCUUUAAUAUUUUCUUAGCAGAAAAAACAUUGGAGGUGGGAAACGGGCAGGUUUUUUAGAGUCCUCCAUUGGUUUCUCCUCGGAUAUACGGCUCUAUGCAUUUUCAAAUAUCCCCAUUGGNNNNNNNNNNNNNNNNNNNNNNNNNNNNNNNNNNNNNNNNNNNNNNNNNNNNNNNNNNNNNNNNNNNNNNNNNNNNNNNNNNNNNNNNNNNNNNNNNNNNAAGUACUCUUGCUACAAUUUUUUUAGCUAUUCUAGCUAGCUACAAGUAGCCUUGUCACUUGAUACUAAUGAGACAUUUUGUUGAUCAUCGCCUUCCCCAUGUUUCAAAGCUCAUAAAUCAUUCCCACUUUUAGCAUACGUUUGUAUGGAAUGUCAAACACCUUCUUUGUCUGUCUCAAAUUCUGCUUUAAGAUAUUUUAGCCAACAUUUAUUAGAACAUUUUUUCCUAAUUUGGAGCCCUUCUCCGCCAUCACCUCGAUCAUUCUCACCAAUCAAGUGUACCCCACCCGCUCGUGUCGCUAUGUUAGUUGCUUCAAUAUCUUUGUCAACAUCGUCUUGGUGCCUUUCUUCAUCAAUUUGAUUUGAUUCUUCACUCUCAUUCUCACCAUCAAUCGACCCAUCUUGCAGCUCUCUAGAAACCAUGUCUUGUGUUAAUGUCAAGGUCAUCAUCAUUUUUUCUCUUAUAAACUCCUUCAAUCUUUCAACCAACAAUCUCUCAAAAGGCUCUUCCUUGCACGUCAGUGUACCCAUACCUCACCACACACCAAAACACAAAGAUCGUCUGGGUCUACCCUGCGGAAGAAGAAUCGUCCCUCCAUUGAAACCUUGCUUAAAACUCACCUAAAGGAUUUGAUAUUAGGUAAAAGCCCAACCCAAACAACCCUUAAUGUGUCAUACCUUAAUUUAUGUGUUCUCAAGACCUACAACCUAGCAAAACACAUAGAAGGCCACUUAGGUUGCAUGCACUUUAUCACUUAAAAUGAAAAUAAAAAAAUGUAUAUGUUUCUAAAAUAUUUAUAUUAUUAAAAAAUAAUAUAAUAUUUUCUAAAAUUCUAAAAUUAGUUAAAAUUAAAUAAUUAAUUUUUCUUCAUUUUGAAUAUAUUAACGUUUAAAUAUUAUACAUAUUUCAUUUAAUAAAAUUCAAAAUAAUAAUAUAUUUAUACUUAUUUUUUAUAAUAUCAAAGAUAAAAUUUUAUUAUUAUUAAUAAUUUAUUUAUUUAUUUAAAUUUUUAAUUCUUUUAAAUUUUAAUAAUAUAAAUUAUAUAUUUAUGACAUCAUCAAUUCGACUAGACCAUCGAUCUGAUUACUAAACCAUGAACCAUAACUUUUUCGAUUUAAAGACCAAUCUCUAUCUAUCUCAAAUUCUUCUUCAAGAUAUUGUAGCUAACAUUUAUCAAAACAUUUUCUCCUAAUCUAGAGCCCUUCUUCACUAUCACCUCAAUUUCAUCGAUCAAGUGCACCACACGCGGUCCUGCCGCUCUGUCAAUUGCUUAAAUAUCUUUGUCAACAUCCUUUUGGCGCAUUUCUUCAUCAAUUUGCUUUGAUUAUUUGCUCUCAUUCUCACCAUCAAUCAACCCAUCUUGUAGCUCUCCAAAAACCAUGUCUCCAUUACUGUGUUUUAAUGUCGGGGUCAUCAUCAUCUCUUCUCUUAUGAACUCCUUCAUUCUUCCAACCAUCAAUCUCUCAAAAAGUUCUUCCUUGAAUCACACGUCGGUGUACCCAUACCUCACCACACACCAUAACACAUAAGAUCAUCUAGGUCUACCAUGCGGAAGAGGAAUCAUUCCUCCAUUGGAACCUUGCUUAAAAGUCAAACCUAAACACCCUCUCAUGUGUCAUACCUUAAUUUAAGGUGUUGUAGAAGUGGCUUGUUGAGUUACCAAUUAGGUUUCAUGAUUUUAAGGAUUGGAACUCAAGACCUAAGACCGAGCAAAACACAUAGAAAACCACUUAGGCUACGUGCACUUUAUCACUUAAAAUGCAAAUAAAAAAAAUGUAUAUGUUUCUAAAAUAUUUAUAAUAUUAAAAAAAUAAUAUUAUAUUUUCUAAAAUUCUAAAAUUGGUUAAAAUUAAAUAAUUAAUUUUUCUUCAUUUUGAAUAUAUUGACAUUUAAAUAUUAUACAUAUUUCAUUUAAUAAAAUUCAAAAUACUAAUAUAUUUAUACUUAUUUUUUAUAAUAUCAAAGAUAAAAAUAUAAUAUUAUUCAUUAUUUAUUUAUUUAUAUAUUUUUAAAUUUUUAUUAUUUUUAAUUUUAAUAAUAUAAAUUUUUUAUAUAUGACAUCAUCGGUUCGACUAAACCACCCGUCUGAUUACUAAACCAUGAACCAUAACUUUUUUGGUUGAAUGACCAAUCUCUGUUUGUCUCAAAUUCUUCUUCAAGAUAUUGUAUCCAACAUUUAUCAAAACAUUUUUUCCUAAUUUGGAGCCCUUCUUCGCCAUUACCUCAAUCACACCUGCUCAUGCCGCUUUGUCAAUUGCUUCAUUAUCUUUGUCAACAUCCUUUUGCCGCAUUUUUUCAUCAAUUUGCUUUGAUUCUUCGCUCUCAUUCUCACCAUCAAUCAACCCAUCUUGCAGCUCUCUAGAAACCAUGUCUCCAUUACUAUGUGUUAAUGUCGGGGUCAUCAUCAUCUCUUCUCUUAUGAACUCCUUCAAUCUUUCAAUCAGCAAUCUCUCAAAAGGCUCUUACUCGAAUCUCACGUCGGUGUACCCAUACCUCACCACACACCGGAACACGUAAAGAUCAUCUGGGUCUACCUUGCGGAAGAGGAAUCCUUCCUUCAUUGGCACCUUGAUUAAAACUCACCUAAAGGAUUUGAUAUUAGGUAAAAGUCCAACCCAAACACCCUUUUAUGUGUCAUACCUUAAUUUACGUGUUGUAGAAAUGGCUUGUUGAGUUAGCAAUCCACAUCCCACGUAGGAUUCAUGAUUUUAAGGAUUUGAACUCAAGACCUACAAUCAAGCAAAACACAUAGAAGACCACUUAGGUUGCAUGCACUUUAUAUGUUUCUAAAAUAUUUAUAAUAUUAAAAAAUAAUAUUAUAUUUUCUAAAAUUCUAAAAUUAGUUAAAAUUAAAUAAUUAAUUUUUCUUCAUUUUGAAUAUAUUGACAUUUAAAUAUUAUACAUAUUUCAUUUAAUAAAAUUCAAAAUACUUAACAUAUUUAUACUUAUUUUUUAUAAUAUCAAAGAUAAAAAUAUAAUAUUAUUCAUUAUUUAUUUGUUUAUAUAUUUUUAAAUUUUUUAUUCUUUUUAAUUUUAAUAAUAUAAAUUUUAUAUAUAUGACGUCAUCAGUUCGACUAGACCACCGAUCUAAUUACUGAACCAUGAACCAUAACUUUUUUUGGUUUAAUGACCAAUUUUUGUCAAUCUCAAAUUCUUCUUCAACAUAUUCUAGCCAACAUUUAUCAAAACAUUUUUUCCUAAUUUAGAGCCCUUUUUUGCCAUCACCUCAAUCAUACCUGCUCGUGUCACUCUGUCAAUUGCUUCUUUAUCUUUGUCAACAUCUUAUUGGCGCAUUUCUUCAUCAAUUUGCUUUGAUUAUUCGCUCUCAUUCUCACUAUCAAUCAACCCAUCUUGCAGCUCUCUAGAAACCAUGUCUCCAUUACUAUGUGUUAAUGUCAGGGUCAUCGUCAUCUCUUCUCUUAUGAACUCCUUUGAUCUUUCAACCAACAAUCUCUCAAAAGGCUCUUCCUCGAAUCGCACGUUGAUGUACCCAUACCUCACCACCCACCGAAACACAUAAAGAUUGUCUGGGUCUACCGUGCGGAAGAGGAAUCAUUCUUCCAUUGGAACCUUGCUUAAAACUCACCUAAAGGAUUUGAUAUUAGGUAAAAGCCCAACCCAAACACCCCUUAAUGUGUCAUACCUUAAUUUAAGGUGUUGUAGACAUGUCUUAUUGUGUUAGCAAUGCGCAUCCCAUGUAGGAUUCAUGGCUUGUUGAGUUAGCAAUCCACAUGCCACAUAGGAUUCAUGAUUUUAAGGAUUUGAACUCAAGACCUACAACCAAGCAAAACACAUAGAUGGCCACUUAGGCUGCACUUUAUCACUUAAAAUGCAAAUAAAAAAAAUGUAUAUGUUUCUAAAACAUUUAUAAUAUUAAAAAAAUAAUAUAAUAUUUUCAAAAAUUCUAAAAUUAAUUAAAAUUAAAUAAUUAAUUUUUCUUCAUUUUGAAUAUAUUGACAUUUAAUAUUAAACACAUGUCAUUUAAUAAAAUUCAAAUUAUUAAUAUAUUUAUACUUAUUUUUUAUAAUAUCAAUGAUAAAAAUUUAAUAUUUAAAUUAAUUGCAUAUAUAUACAUGUGUGUGUGUAUGUAUUUUGUUAUUUUAAAAUUUUUAAAACUAUUAUAUUAAUUAAUUUAUAUUAUUUUUAUAUUUAUAAUUAAUAAUUAUUAUAUCAAUAAUGGUAGAUAUAAAUAUUCAUAUUUAUUUAAAUGUUCUAUAUGAUAAAAAUUUAAAAAUAUAUACAUAUUUUCCAUGCUAUUGACCAAAUAGCUUGUAAGUUGGUGGUCCUCCAACUCAUUAUGUAAACCACGUCCCAGGUUUCAAUUCUACAAAGCAUUUAUGUAGUAUUUAUACCUUCACAUCACAGGAGAAAGUAAAUUGCCAUAGAAUACAGGCUUGGAAUGAAGCGAGAAAUGAGCUAGAAAAUUGUGGAAACCCAUGUGGAAUUUUGGUUAAACCAUAAUUGACUGGUUCGUGAAAAACCUGCAGACAGUUUGUUCGAUUCAGCGAUUGAACUAUCGAUUCAUUAGGUCCAACAAGGGUUCAACCUCUGGACAGUCUAUUUCAUCAGAUCGGACUGAAAAGGCCAUCAGUCGAUGGUUAAACUGGCCGGUCUGAUCCUGUUUUCAAAACAAUAAAAUUAGGGUUGAAUGACACGUGAAAAAUAAUUUAUACAAUAUAAUGCUUCACUUAUAUUUAAAAUAGAACUCUUUCUCGUUCAAUAUAAGAGUUGAAAGCCACUAGAUAUAAUUUGAAUACUGAUUGACCAACCAAUUGAUCAACUGCUAAUCAUCAAGGUUACCAAAUCCUAACUAAUUCAACCGAUUGAGACCUAGGUUACAUAAAACAAGGCUAUAAGAAGCCAUGAUGAACAUAAGGAUUCAAAGAGAGUUCUAACAGUAUUUACCUAGCUAUGAUGAACAGACAACAAAAGCAUGCUAGUUGCAAAAGAAACUAUGAUUCAAGAACAUUUUAUGAAUGAGUUUUAUUUACAGAUAUUGACAGAAAACACCAGGAACUGUAUGUUAAAAGUAAUACAACUCCAGAAAUAUAUUGGCCAUUAUUGGAAUGAAUGACCCUUAUAAAAAAAUAAAAAGAGGUGCUGCAUUCUGUACUCUUGCACCUUGUUCAACACCCAAGAAAUAAAUAAAUAAAAAGGAAGAAGAGGAAGAAGGAGAAGAAGAAGGAACAAAGAUAUUCAGAACAUAUUUCUACAAUUAAAAAAUUUAACAGUCAGAUAUCAAUUCCCAUCUUAAGCCUAAUGCUAGAUAAUAGGCAAAAACAUAAUAUACAAAAGAUAAUAAUUAACAUUUUGAAGCCAAAGGCUAAUAUAAGAUUAUCACUCAAUUCGAAAUUUUACCACUUAUUACUUAUGACAUUAUUUUAAUAUUGGAGAUCAAAGUUCUGAAACAGGAUAAACUACUUAGUAUUUUAAAACAUUAUGCAGUCUUUAAUGGAUGUUGUCUCACGUAUCUCUCCCCUUUAAAAAAGCCAAUUAUUUUGCUGAACUGUUAGGUCCACGAUGACUAAUGAUUGCACUUAGCACUCAAUAGUUCUUGCUUUAUGUUCUUUAUCAAACAGCCAAUAGAAGAAGAUGAUCAUUCUUAGUUAUCAGACAAACGCUGAACCUAAAAAUACAAAAUAAUAGAACUUGAUGCUUACACUGAAUUUAAUGGGGAGAAUAACCUUAUUGAAAUGGACACGACUCAUUUUGGGACUGAAACGCUAAUAGAUUUUCAGUGGUCAUGGAUAAAGGUUUACAUUAGACAAUUUGAAGCAAGUUUCAUCCUUAUUAGGUUCAACCAACUAUAGCAGCAAUCAUUUAUAACACACAAAAUCUCCAAGCAUAUGGAGACUAGAAGGAUCAAGGUCAGUCAAAAUUCAUAUCUGAACUUUAAUCUGGAAGUUCAGAUAGAAGUUAGUCUUUAAUGAAUUUGUUAAAAAGUGUGUAGUAAAAAAUCCACACAUUUCAAUCAAAUUGACAACCUCUCAAUCAAGAACUUUCAUUUCCAAGAAAAAUCAAAGAUACAGCCCUUUGAAAUGAAACACAAAUAAAGUUACAUGAAAUACACCAGCAAUCUCAGAUAUUAAAAGUCUCAGGUACAUAUAAUGGCUAUAAACCAUUAUUAUAAAAUUUUCUGCAUAUAAGAACACCUAUAGUAACAGAAACAAGAACUGAAAAAGCUCCCUGCCUUGAAAGCCCAAAUUCAGUCCAUGUCAAGGGCCUUUUGACCUGAAAUAAUACAUUCUGGAACAGUUCAUUCAGAUCCUCCAGCGACCCAGUGUUCUCCUCUUCAAAUCCAGUGACAUCUGGGCAUUUAUCCUGUUUCUGGCAUCCUCCUCGGACGUCCUAUCCCUUGCCAACAGUCGCUGAAGUUGUGUUUCAGGAUCAACCCAUACAACAAUAAUGGGUUUUGUCCAGCCGUCCAUCUUGGCCUCAAACAACAAAGGGACAUCAAGAACAAUAACCUUAAACCCCUUCAUCCAUAGCUUGAAAACUUCCCAAAAAAUACCAGAUGAUAUAAAAGGGGCCAGUAGCCUAAAAAUGUAUAUAAAAACAAGAGUAAAAACUCAUAUAAUUGCAUCUUCAUUACAAGUUAAGGCAAUGAAUUAUGAUCAACUGACACUCAAAAAGAUUUAUUGUCUGCAAAUUGAUCUAUGAAAAUUCCAAACUCUUAAGAGAAAAAAUACACUAAUUCCACUAAGUUAUCUGAGUUGAAGUAUUUCAAUAGGUUAUAAGACUAAUACUUCCCUAUCAUGCAAUUAAGAAAAGAUUGGAUACACAUCUCUGUUGCAUAGAAUUGUAAACAUUUAUCAUUUUUAUCUUCAGGCAUUCAGAAGUAAACUUCGGUGGCGUUUGUUUUUUUGGCUUUUUGCUGAAAACAAUUUGCUUUCAGAAUUUAGGUUGUUUGUUUUUUUAAUUUUUGAUGACUUAUUACUGAAUUUUUAAAAUUUUUGACUAAAUAAAAAAAGCUAAAAUAUUUGGCUUUUUCUAUUUAGAAAAAGCCAAUUUUUUAAACCUUUACCAAAUGCGAUUGAACCCGAACCCGACGCCCAAACCUACCCACCCAUCCCUUGUAGCUCUCUGCAACCCCGAUCCUCAACCCUCACCUCAUCCCAAAGCAAUAAUUUCUUCAUUCUCCUCCUCCAUCGCUCUCCUUCCGGGACUAUAGAGUUGGAAAGAAGCUCCUCUUUCAUUCAGCAUCGUUGAUCUAAUCGAAGGUAACUGACCCAAAUUUAUUUUGGUUUUAGGAUUUCAAUAGAGCAUUCGAGUCUCAUUUUCCAGUACUUCUCUUUCUAAAACUCUCAUUUUCAAUAGAGCAUUCUGGUUCACGUGUUGCAGGUCCGUUUAUUUUUUUAGGAAGAAAAACUUUGUUUGGUGAUAUCUUAUUAUUUAGAGCCUAUUUGAUAUGGUUGUUGUCUCGUUGUUAAUUUGGGUUUGUUUGAUUGUUGUGAUUUUUGUGGUUUGUUGGGUUAUUUUUUAAGGAAGAAAAAUGUUGGGUUUAAUCUUAUUGAUUUCAUAUUAUAGUUUGUUGAGUAGAGCAUUUGUGCUCAAACUGUUUGUUAGAAUGCCCAUGAGAGUUCUUAAAUAACGUGGAAUACCCCCUCCAAAUGAUUGAACGCCAUUGAAAGUUGUUGCAGAGAUGAAAGGUUUCCCUGAAUGUUGGGGGUUUAUAGGAUUUUUUGAGUCCUCUUUGUAAGGUUGGAGGGGUUUGGAUCAUCCAAAAAUGGCUCCUACACUUGCCUACUGCCAAGCUCUUUGUAAGGUUGCAAUCGCCUUGAAAAGGGAUGAUUCCAUUUUCUUAGCUUUUGCUCCCUGUCCCUGAUGAAUUUUUCAGAGGAGUUUCAGCAAGGAUGAGAGCCGAUGCUUCACAGCCCUUCCAGAAACUGGGAAUAAAUAGAGAAAUUGAGUGUCAAAUGUGGGGAUGACAAGACCAAGUUUUCUUCCCGGAGGGAAAGCAUCUAACAGCUUCUCAACAUUUUCUAGGAAAUCAUCCAUCAACCAUUCAGCAUCUUCUUAGCCAUUGACCAAACUUCUACUUCAUUAGCCGUCGUAGAUACAAUGACAUACAUGUUGACUUGGUCAAUUGUUCAAGCUUAACCUAUGACUUUGGUUUUAAUUUAUUGUUCAAGAGAUUUUGAUUUUAGAUAAAUUAAAUUGGUUGGUGGAAUGAUGAUAUGUUAGAGCAACAAUAUGUUAGAGCUAGAGUGCCAAAAUUGGAGAUGUCCUGUGCCAAAAUUAGAGCAACUUCUCUAAUGUCCAGCCAUGUGACUAGCAGACAAGGACGACUCCUCUACCAACCAUGAGUCCAGCCAUGUGAACAUCUAGCAUAGUGACUUAUCAAGUGAGCAAACGCUAAGAAAAUGGAAUCAUAAUCUGUUCCCCACUCCAAUGCCAAGCUCUUGUUACCCUGUUUUACCCUUCCUUAAGUCAUUAGCAGCUGGAUUUUUAAGAAUGGUAUGCCUCCCAUUGCCAAAGAAAUUGGUAAUUCAAAUCAUUCCUUUCUUUUUCCACAAAGAUCAAGAUGGCUUUACAGUUCCUGUGAGCCCAGAAACCAAUUAUAGAGGAACCUAAUUCUAAAAUAAUUUGGCAUCUGAAAUGUUUAGUUUUACAUGAGCAGUGAUUUUUUUAUACAAUAUCCACUCAAUUUGCUGAGAACCCAAUUUGUUACCAAGAAGCAAUGAGGUUCCAGAAUCUUAAAGAUGGAUCAAAGGCAUGAGGCUCAAACAGAGCAUCUCCUCAUAUCAUUUUCUUCUUAAACCCCAAUGCUGAUUUUGGAGUUUUUAACAUAAUGCCAGGGUUUCUAUUGAAAAUGAGAAAUCUUGUGCCUCCUCUCUGAUUGUGGUCCCAUUUUUUUAUUUCUUUUUUCCUUUUCAGUCCUCUAACUUGUAAUUAUUAUGCCUCAGCUGUUUAAAGUCUGUUUAGUAAAAUCCAGUAUCUUUUUCUGUUGCUUAGUUGCUGUCUUACUUACCAUGCUUUCUUACUUCCCUAAUUCAACCCUAAAUCCAAAUUUAUCAUUUUCUAUUAUUAUUGUUAUUAUUUGUUAUUCCAACAUUAGUCAAAGGCCCUCACAAUAAAUAUAUGGAAAUUCUCAAUUCAUAAUAACUCUUUUGUUCUUUUAGAAUAACUAUAAAACGCAAUAGAAGGGUGGUAGAUGGUAGGUGGUGGUGUACGAGUGCCACGAGGCUAAGUGGCAGACAAAUAUUUAAAAAGAUAAAAAUUUAUCUUUUUAUCUUUUAGAAUAACUCCUCUUGUUCUUAUGAACAAGGCAGGAUAUAUAAAAAAAAAAAAAAAAUGAAGGGGAAAAAGAAAGCCUCCAUUAAUUCACACACUUAUCAGAUCCUACACAUUCAAUUCACCCUCCCCACCCAACAAGGAAAAGAACAUACACGACGAUUAUGGCAGAUUAUACACAUGGACAACACAGGCAGGAUGUGAUUCUUGCUGUAAACAUACGCAACAUCACUUUUACUCCAAGUUCCAAUCCAAAAUAGAUCCUCAAAAUGAGCCAUAUAUGCAUAUGUACCUAUCACCUCUUCUUCCGCCUAUACAUUAAAUAGAAGCUCCAUCAUUUACAAAGAAACAAUCUACAGAUCUCUGUACCCAAAACUUAGGUCCUGGCAGGUUAAUCAAUGCAGAUGGAAUGAGAUCAGCUGUCAUAGGUGUAGGGACACGCAGCACGUGUUAUCAGCCGAACCAUCAUCAUCUGGAUUCCCUUAAGGAUACGCAUGAUGAUGGUUCUCCUAUCCGGACCGCCUCAAGGAAAAGCACAUGACGUUUCAGCUUCUUCUGUCCAAGGAAGAGCAAACGACGCUGACAGAGCAUAGACAUCCGGACAACCUUCAUAAUGUAUCCGCUCCACUAUACAAUCCAGAUAGUCAGCAUGUGACCAUCCGGAUUUAAUCGUCCGGAUCAUCAAUUAAAGUAAAGCAAGUCUUACACGCUAUCACGACAACCAGCCAUGACCCACGUCCCAUCAUCUGUAGAGUGAAAGGACGGGUCGAGGUGACAACAAGUCACUUCCCGCGAUCAUUCUACAUGAUCAUUUCCCACGAUAUCUAGACAGCAGCAUCACCUACCACGGUUUCUGACAGCCGCCAGUAGGGUGGUGAUGACCAUGCUGCCUCCGAAUGUCAUCAUGACAAACAUAAAAUAUCUCAUCGCCAUUAAUGAGAGGAACAGUACCCCUGAAGCUGUAUAUAUAUACCUUCGCACGAAGAAGGAAGGGAUCCCCCCCUGAUAACUUCUUAAUACCUGGUAAAAGGCCAACUGAUUUGUACCUCUCGCUCUGAUCAUGGCUAACAAAACCAUUGGAGGGUGCGUCCGGACACCUUGUCCGGAUGCCUUCUUGCAGGUAUAACGACUGGAUCAAGAACCUGUAUAAGUUGAAAUCACGCGUCCAUCCAUCUGGCAACUACGUGGAUCCUCAAACACGCGAGGUAACAACAUUGGCGCCGUCUGUGGGAACUUUUCUUUACUUUGAUUCAGUCACUAAAAAAAAAAAAAAAAAAUGGCCACACCUUCCCAAAGUCGUUCAUCUGGUAGGGGAGAGGAUGAUAAUUUUGAAUGGCGUCUAGUCAUCGAAAGGAGACAGCUGGCAAGCGAAAGACAGCUAAAAGCUCUCCUUCAGGAGACAAAAAGAUUGAGAGAAGAAAACGUUGUGUUACGUAUCCAGGCUUCAACAUCAGAGCCUCCUCGACGUCAACGUUCGAGGGGCCAAGUAGCAAACUCAAGGCCUCAGCAAGAACCGGAGUCAAUAUACCCUGGGACAACAGGGGCAAUCCCAGGGGCAUGCAACGUGAGGCCUCAUGAACCACGCACGCCUAUGCCUCGAGCUCCCCAUGAGGAAAGCUCAGACUCUACUCACUUUUCAGCAAAAAGGCAACGUGAUAAAAAGUCGCGGUUGUCAAAUUCGAUGCGUGCAAGACUAGGCCCGCAAGAGCCUAGAAGAUCAAGGCCACCUAUGGCCACAACCUGGGCACCACGCCCUGACCCCAUGGCAACCCCCAUGGUGCAAAACGUUCACCCGCAUCGUGACCCCAUAGUCACCCCCGUGAUGCGGAACGUCCAUCUGCACCCAGCGGAACAGCCAACUGGGAGAAACAUCCCAAACGGGCCACCCGUUGGCUCCAUCAGCAAAAGGUUGGAUGACAUGCUCUUCACGCCUUUCUGCUCUCAUAUCAUUAACUAUGAGCCCCCAAGGGGAUUCCUCGUACCAAAAUUUUCCACAUACGAUGGAACCAACGAUCCCUUCGAUCACAUCAUGCAUUAUCGACAGCUCAUGACGCUCGAUAUUGGCAACGAUGCGCUGCUAUGCAAAGUAUUCCCCGCCAGCCUACAGGGACAGACCCUCUCAUGGUUUCAUCGCCUACCUCCCAACUCUGUUGGCAAUUUCAGGGACCUGUCCGAAGCUUUCGUGGGACAAUACUUGUGCUCCGCUCGACACAAACAGAAUAUCAGCACCCUCCAGAACAUAAAAAUGCGAGAUAACGAAUCCUUGAGGGAAUUUGUGAAACGAUUUGGCCAGGCCGUACUUCAAAUAGAGGCUUGCAGCAUGGACGCGGUCCUACAGAUCUUCAAACGAAGCAUCUGUUCAGGCACUCCAUUCUUCGAAUCACUGGCCAAAAAACCUCCUACAAUAAUGGAUGACUUAUUCAGAAGAGCCAACAAAUAUUCAAUGCUCGAAGAUGACGUACGUGCAGCCACCCAACAAGUUUUGGUUGCCGGACGGCCAUCCGGAAGUAAUACGGAGAGAAAUACCAAACCUCCGGAUCGGCCAAAGCCAUCUGACCGAAGGCAGGAAGGGCCAAGUCGCCCGGAAAUGCCGCCUCUCACACCUCUUUCUAUAUCAUAUGAGAAACUUCUCCCAAUGAUCCAAGGCUUGUCCGACUUCAAGUGGCCUAGACCCAUUGCAACGGACCCAUCUACAAGGGAUCGUAGCAGGAGAUGUGCCUUCCACAAGGAUCAUGGCCAUACAACAGAGACGUGCCGAUCUUUCCAGUAUUUGGUCGAAAGACUCAUAAAAGCUGGGCAUUUGAAGCAAUACCUCCGCAUGGAUACUGGGGGUAGGGACGUUUCCCAGCACAACAACCCUGGAGCCCCUAGGGCCCCAGUUGCCACCAAGGUCGUUAUCAACUAUAUUAACGGAGGACCAUCUGAAGAGGAGUAUGACUCCAGGCGGAAAAGGCAAAAAUUGUUGCGGGCUGCAUCAAUACGCGAACGCAUUAAUUCCAUCCGGCCGGGUCUAACUGGAGAGGGGCCUCGCCCCAUAGAUGGAACAAUAAUUUUUCCACCAGUAGAUCCCACCCGGACACUACAACCACAUCGCGACGCCCUCAUCUUGUCCUUGGAAAUUGGGGACUUCGAUGUGCGACGUAUCUUAGUUGACCCAGGCAGUUCGGCCGACCUGGUGCAAGCAUUAGUCGUUGGCCGCAUGGGACAUAGUCUCGCGGGCCUUGAAAACCCAGGACGAAUCUUAUCUGGAUUCAACGGAUCAUCAACCACAUCCUUGGGAGAUAUCAUACUGCCAGUCCAAGCUGGCCCAGUCACUCUCAAUGUACAGUUUUCAGUAGUACAGGAGCUAUCACCCUUCAAUGUCAUUUUGAGGCGCACAUGGCUCCACUACAUGAAAGCUAUCCCCUCUACAUACCAUCAAAUGGUGAGUUUUCUCACCAACGAUGGCCAAAUCGACCUAUAUGACAGCCAAUUAGCCGCUCGCCAAUGCUAUCAAAUAGCACGCGAAGCAGGGGCUAACCAGGAGGAUGUAUCUCCCCCUGAACCCAGCAUUGCACACGACCAAUAGCAAUUAUUGGGUCCGACGGACAAAGAUCCCCCGGCAGUAGAUCCCUUACAAACAAUCCAAAUUUCGGAGGAAAACGACCACCUCACGAACAUCAGUUCCCUCAUGACACAAGAAGAAACUCAAGGCAUGCAAAAUAUCCUCAGACAGAACCAUGACAUCUUCGCGUGGGCACAUUCUGACAUGAAGGGAAUUCAUCCCUCCAUUGCAUCUCACAGGCUUAACGUCUUUUCAACUGCCAGACCCGUCCGACAGAAGAUUAGGCGCUUCCACCCGGAUAGACAAAGAGUCAUCCGGAACGAGAUUGACAAAUUGCUCGAAGCCGGAUUCAUCAGAGAGGUUUCUUAUCCGGAUUGGUUGGCAAACGUAGUCGUGGUACCCAAAAAAGAAGGAAAAUGGAGAGUUUGUGUAGAUUACACCAAUCUCAACAAUGCGUGUCCAAAAGACAGUUUUCCCUUGCCGCGAAUAGAUCAGAUUGUGGAUUCCACUUCCGGGCAAGGGAUGCUCUCUUUCUUGGAUGCCUUCUCCGGAUAUCAUCAAAUCCCCAUGUCCCCGGAUGACGAAGAAAAAACAGCAUUCAUAACGCCACAUGGCCUCUAUUGUUAUAAAGUCAUGUCAUUCGGACUCAAAAAUGUUGGCGCCACUUAUCAAAGAUUGAUGACUAAAAUCUUCAAACCUCUGAUAGGCCACUCGGUAGAGGUAUAUAUUGACGAUAUCGUAGUCAAAAGCGAAACUCGAGAACAACAUAUCCUUCAUUUGCAAGAAGUUUUUUACCUCUUACGAAAGUAUGGCAUGAAGCUAAAUCCUUCCAAAUGCGUCUUUGGCGUGAGUGCCGGCAAAUUUCUAGGAUUUAUGGUCAGUCAAAGGGGCAUAGAAGUCAGCCCGGAUCAAGUCAAGGCAGUCAUGGAAACACCUCCCCCCAGGAACAAGAAAGAGUUACAGCGCCUCACAGGCAAACUCGUUGUGUUAGGGCGUUUCAUAGCCCGCUUCACUGAUGAGUUGCGACCCUUCUUCUUGGCGAUACGAAAAGCUGGAACGCACGGGUGGACGGGCAAUUGCCAAAACGCUUUGGAAAGAAUUAAACAUUGUCUUAUGCAACCACCCAUAUUGAGCAGCCUCAUCCCAAAGGAGAAAUUAUACAUGUAUCUGGCAGUGUCAGAAUGGGCAAUCAGUGCCGUUCUAUCCCGCUGCCCAUCACCCAAGGAGCAGAAGCCCAUCUACUAUGUCAGCAGGGCAUUGGCAGAUGUGGAAACCAGAUAUUCAAAAAUGGAGCUAACAGCCUUAGCCCUUCGAAGCGCUGCCCAAAAGCUCCGGCCCUAUUUUCAAGCCCACCCGGUGAUCGUGUUGACUGAUCAACCCCUUCGCAGCAUUCUGCACAAGCCAGAUUUAAUCGGGAGAAUGCUACAAUGGGUCAUCGAAUUAAGCGAGUUUGGAAUAGAAUUCCAACCAAGGUUGUCCAUGAAAGGCCAGGUAAUGGCUGACUUCGUGCUAGAAUAUUCCCGAAAACCCGGCCAGCAUGAAGAAUCAAGUAAAAAAGAAUGGUGGACUCUGCGAGUUGACGGAGCCUCACGUUCAUCAGGCUCUGGAGUUGGGCUCCUACUACAGUCCCCAACUGGGGAACAUUUGGAGCAAGCCAUCCGGCUGGGAUUUCCUGCCUCAAACAAUGAAGCAGAAUAUGAGGCCAUCCUGUCCGAAUUGGACCUCGCCCUUGCUCUAGCCGUCUCCAAACUCCGGAUCUUCAACGACUCACAACUCGUGGUAAAACAUGUCCAGGAGGAAUAUGAGGCUAAGGACGCACGCAUGGCGCGAUACUUAGCUAAAGUAAGAAACACCUUGCAGCAAUUCACUGAAUGGACAAUCGAAAAAAUCAAGCGAGCUGACAAUAGGCGCGCUGACGCUUUGGCCGGCAUAGAUGCCUCCCUCCCUAUCAAGGAAGCCAUUCUACUGCCCAUACAUGUGCAAACCAACCCCUCUGUCUCAGAAAUUUCAAUCUGCAAUACCAUUAAAGCACCCCAAGCGGACGGCCAAGAAUGGAUGAAUGAUAUCACAGAAUAUAUCCGGGCAGUAACUCUACCCGGAGAUCUCAAACAGGCACACAAAAUCUAGGUGCAAGCUGCCCGUUUUACCUUAAUUGGGGGGCACUUGUACAAACGAUCCUUCACAGGACCAUACCUUCGGUGCCUAGGACACUCAAAGGCCCAAUAUGUGUUGGCUGAGUUACAUGAGGGAAUAUGCGGAAAUCAUUCGGGAGAACGAUCUUUGGCACAUAGGGCUCAUUCGCAAGGAUACUAUUGGCCAACAAUGAAGAAAGACGCGGCAACAUAUGUCAAAAAAUGUGAUAAAUGUCAAAGGUACGCUCCCAUUCCACAUAUGCCAUCAACAACGUUAAAAUCAAUCUCAGGUCCAUGGCCCUUCGCACAGUGGGGCAUGGACAUAGUGGGACCUCUCCCAGCUGCACCUGCCCAAAAGAAAUUUUUGCUUGUUGCCACAGAUUAUUUCAGUAAGUGGGUGGAAGUUGAAGCAUAUGCUAGCAUCAAAGACAAGGAUGUCACCAAGUUUGUAUGGAAAAAUAUUAUCUGCCGUUUUGGAAUUCCCCAAACCAUUAUAGCCGACAAUGGUCCACAAUUUGAUAGCAUUGCAUUCAGAAAUUUCUGUUCGGAGCUGAAUAUCCGGAACUCAUACUCCACACCACGGUAUCCUCAAAGCAAUGGGCAAGCAGAAGCCACAAACAAAACCCUAAUCAAUGCCCUAAAGAAAAGGCUUGAGCAAGCUAAAGGGAAGUGGGUGGAGGAGCUACCCGGUGUCCUAUGGGCCUACCGAACUACACCCGGACGGCCAACAGGAAAUACUCCUUUCGCUCUUGCAUAUGGAAUGGAUGUCGUCAUUCCUACCGAAAUAGGUCUCCCUACUAUCCUGACCGACGCAGCAAAACAAAAUGAUGCAAACAUGGAAUUAGGAAGAAAUUUGGAUUGGACGGAUGAAGUGAGGGAAAGUGCGGCCAUCCGGAUGGCAGAUUAUCAACAAAGGGCAUCAGCACAUUACAAUCGUAAAGUGAAGCCAAGAAGCUUAAAAAAUGGUACGCUAGUCCUUAGAAAAGUUUUUGAAAAUACUACUGAAGUGGGUGCAGGGAAGUUCCAAGCCAACUGGGAAGGACCUUAUAUAGUGUCUAAAGCAAGUGACAAUGGAGCAUAUCAUUUACAAAAGCUAGACGGAACUCCAUUACUUAGACCAUGGAAUGUGUCUAAUUUAAAGCAAUAUUAUCAAUAAGAGAGCCAAGACGAGUUCAGAUGAGAAAAGAAAUAUUUUUAUUGAUAUAGCUAAAAAUAUGUACAAAGAGGUCUCCGGACCACAAAAAAUACAGAAGGAAGAUUACAGAAGAAGUUACAAAAAGAGAUAAACUAUCAGGGAGCAGGCUUGUCAUGUAGUUUCUUUUCUUCACCCGGAGGAAUUGAAGGCACGUCCCGCCUGAUACAGUUCUUCUUCAUGCAGCACCGAUACCCAAAGAUGAACGUAUCAUCCACUUGUUUUUGAUAUUCUGCUUCAAUUUCCUUCCUCUCUGCAGCAAACUCCCGUUCUAGCUCCUCUUUUUGUGCAACCAAGCGCAGCUGCAAAUCUUCCCUCUGUUUCCUUUCGAUAGAAACUUCUGUUCGGAGUUGCCUCACCUCCCCCUUCAGACCGACCACCUCAUCUGCUGCCUCAAGCAGACGGGCAUCCAUUGAUUCCUCCCGGGUCUUUGCGUCAGCCAAAUCUGCCCGGAGGGCCUCAUUCUCCCUCCGGGCGGUGGAUAUGCUGGCUUCAGCCUCCGCCAGUCUCAGACGCAACUGAUCUUCAGCAUCUUUGUGCCAAGUGGCGAAGGCCUUCACAUAAUCAGUAGUCCGGAGCAAGUCAGUGAAAAGAUCGUACUGAUUGGCCAUGCCACGAAGACCACUCACCAGCUGCAAACAAAUAGCCAAGCAAGAAAAGCAAAGUUAGAAAUCACACAUCAGAAUGACAAUCAAAAAGCACAAAAACAGUUUUACCGUUUCCACCAUCUCGAACAUCUGGGCUGAAGGCUUGACAAGGGGCAAGCCGGGUGGAAUAUGUUUUAGCUUCUCUUCCAACUCCGCGUAGCUAAAAGGGUUAGCAGAAGUGCAAGAUGCAUCAUUAACAGGAUUCCCCUCCGAUGAGGCAAGAGAAGAUGACUCUUGUUCCGGAUUCGGGACCUCAACAUUUACGGCCGGAUGGGCAUCCUCGGGUGCAACCUCAACAUUUCCGGCCAGAUGGACCUCCCCCGAUGCAACCUCAGCUGGGACCUCCGUCGGGACGGCUGCAGUCUCAGUUACCAUCUCCACUUCACCCCCCUCCGGAUGAGCGUCGUGGGCGGAUGUGCAACUGACUUCAAUCUCUUGCUGCCGCUCUUGAAGCCGCCCGAGGAGUCCGGACCUCAGGUUGCGCACCGAGCGAGGCUUCUUUGAGGGUGGCCCCGUCACCAGAACAAGAGCCAGCCGGUCCGGAUCGUCAGAGGGCUGACUCUGGCUUUCUGCUCCCGCUUCCUCCAUGGGGGUCGCGCAAACGGCCUCAGCUGCAUCGGCAUCCGGAUUGCGGGAGUCCGGAUGGUUGACAGACGCAGCUUCCUCAGCCAAAUUCGCUAGACACGCAACCGCUGCCAAGGAGGUGCUUGAGUGGUUCAGCCCCGCAAGGUGUCUGGACCCGCUUGAGAUGGAAUGAGGGGCAGCGUUCACUGGCUCCUCUAUCAUUACCUCCGCCUCAUGAAUAAUGGGCGGAGGAGCAAAUUCCAUGGGAGGACUGGGUUCCUUCAAGUCCUUCCCAUUUUUCUUCACCAGCUUCCUCCUUUUCGCUGGAAUUUUCUCUGGAGGAGAGUCUGCGUGACGAUUCUGUCCGGGAGCCUUCCGAAGGGUCCCUUCGUUCUUCUUCUUCUCCCGAUCCUCCAGGAGAAGUGGGCGUUUUUUAGCGUCAACCUCUUUUAACGCCUCGUAAAUCGGGAAAUCCUUCACAGUAUAAUGCUCCCCAGGAACAACUUCCUUUGGCAUCUUCCUGGGGAGAAUGUUGAUGACAUAUUCUCAGGGCUCCCGGACGACCGCCGUCAGGUUCCGCGCGGUCAGCAGCGUCUUGCACUGCCUCUCCUUGGCGUCUAUCUCGAACAAUUUGCUGAGACAGCCAAAGGACGCCUUCUCCACCCAGUCCACAAGGUGGCCCCUCAAUUCCGGACCUACAUUAACAGCAACAAAAGAUGAGAAUGCCAUCCGGAAGAGUCAACAAAAAAUCAACAAAGUAAAAACCGGACAAUAGUCACAAAAGCAAACUUACCCGGAACCUCCAAGGAAUAGUUUGGGUUGAAAGGCCUCGCCGGAUGCUCCAAAAGCCCCGCCCACGCACCCCGGACCACCACGUGUCCCGUCGCCCCUCCCUUUGUCGAAUCUGGCAGCUCUGUCACCAGUUGGAGGGAGGGCAGGUGUGCGGACAUGCUGAAGAUGUCAUUUUUUACCUUCUUCAAAGAAUACAAAAAAAACACCUCCAGCAGCGUGAGAUCGAGGUUGUACAGCAUGUUUAUGAUGCUGCAUCCCAUCAACACCCGGACGAUGUUGGGAUGAAUGAAGACGGGUGGAAUCUUGGUGAAGUGGAGGAACUCCUUGAACAACGCCGGCAGAGGGAACCGGAGCCCCGCGUUGAAUUGUUCCUUCGAGAAAAUGAUAGUUUUUUCUUCUGCUUUCUCAGAAGGCACAAGUACCCUCCCAUUCAGCAGUUCGAUAGUCACGUUAUUCGGGAUGCAGAACCGUUCCCGGAAUUCCUUCGCAUCCAGCUUAUCUAUCGCCUUUCCACGAACUUCGCUAGCCCCAGAAGAUGAAACAGUCUUUUUUGCAGCCAUUUCUUACCACAAACACAAGCCCAAACCUACACACAAGAAGCGCAAUGGGUAAAACACAAGUAACCCAGAAAAUACACAAACCCUAACCCAAACAAAUCAGAAACCAAAACCAAAGAACCAACAAAACGCAACAAAAGGAACAGCAAUAGCAAAGGUACACGUACCAAAUGAAGCUCUGAAGAAGAAAGGUCGUCGUUUCGAAUACAAGAACACCAGCAGCAAACAAAUGUCGCGACACAAAGUCACCGGUACAAAAGUAUUUUCGAGUUUCUUUACUCAGAAAAAGCAAAGGACGCAACAAAAGCAAGAAGAAGAAAGGCUCUCAGGAAAAUGCAGUAGAAAAAAUGAAAAAGAAGGUACAGUACGCUAUUUAUAGGGAGACCAGCCCUCGGAAAGCCAAACGUCCAAACAGCGCUAUCAUUGAAACAACAUGCUGCCUGGAAAUUCCCAGAGUCGGCGGCUCAUCAUAAAUGCCUUUUAUGGCUUCCGCACCCCCUCUCGCCACGUGGCCCAAUCAGACGAAGAGACCUCUUCAAAAUUCAAAAAGCCAGUUAUUUUUUAACCCGCCCAUUUUUUGGCAAAAUAGGCAAGUUAAAAAGGGGGGCAAUGUGGGGACCCCUCCCUCUGGGAAACACGUGGCACGCACCUCACAGUGACACGCAGCACGUGUUAUCAGCCGGACCAUCAUCAUCCGGAUUCCCUUAAGGAUACGCAUGAUGAUGGUUCUCCUAUCCGGACCGCCUCAAGGAAAAGCACAUGACGUUUCAGCUUCUUCUGCCCAAGGAAGAGCAAACGACGCUGACAGAGCAUAGACAUCCGGACAACCUUCAUAAUGUAUCCGCUCCACUAUACAAUCCGGAUAGUCAGCAUGUGACCAUCCGGAUUUAAUCGUUCGGAUCAUCAAUUAAAGUAAAGCAAGUCUUACACGCUAUCACGACAACCAGCCAUGGCCCACGUCCCAUCAUCUGCAGAGUGAAAGGACGGGUCGAGGUGACAACAAGUCACUUCCCGCGAUCAUUCUACAUGAUCGUUUCCCACGAUAUCUAGACAGCAGCAUCACCUACCACGGUUUCUGACAGCCGCCAGUAGGGUGGCGAUGACCAUGCUGCCUCCGAAUGUCAUCAUGACAAACAUAAAAUAUCUCCUCGCCAUUAAUGAGAGGAACAGUACCCCUGAAGCUGUAUAUAUAUACCUUCGCACGAAGAAGGAAAGGAUCCCCCCCUGAUAACUUCUUAAUACCUGGUAAAAGGCCAACUGAUUUGUACCUCUCUCUCUGAUCAUGGCUAACAAAACCAUCGGAGGGUGCAUCCGGACACCCUGUCCGGAUGCCUUCUUGCAGGUAUAACGACUGGAUCAAGAACCUAUAUAAGUUGAAAUCACGCGUCCAUCCAUCUGGCAACUACGUGGAUCCUCAAAGACGCGAGGUAACAACAAUAGGCUGAUAUUCUUCUUCGCUUGUAGCACCUGUAAUAGCCAUCACCAUCAUCUCUGCUCGCCUUAUGAUUGUCACCAUCCUUAAGCAAGCACUCUAAAAUGUUUUCAUCAUGAUUGUCAUCCUUAAGCAAACCCUCUAAACUGCAUUCAUCAUGAUCAUCAUCCUUAAGCAAGCCCUCUAAACUAUUGUCAUUAUGAUUAUCAUCCUUAAGCAAUAACUCUAACAUGUAUUGCUCUCUCUUUCCACCAUUUAUGAGUUGCUACUUCCCUCAAAAGCACCCCUUCACUUUCUCCCACUUUACAUAUAAUCCUUUUUAAUAUUUUUGUUAGAAAAAAUUAUUUUCCUUUUCUAUUUAGACAUACCAAACCAACUGAAGUUUAUUUUAUUUUAUUUUAUUGUCUUUAAUUGAAAAUUGAAAAUUAGUCAUUAAUGUUGGUUGGUUUUUUGUACAGUAAUGAGUCAAAAUAUUGAGAUUAGUAGGGCAAAUUGGACUGACCCCAUCCAAAGAAAGCACUUUAUUGAUCUUUGUCUUCAAGAGGCAAACAAAGGUUUUAGAUCAGGUGGAGGUUUAAAGUUUAGUGCUUGGCCUCGAAUUGCUGAAAAGUUGGAGAAGUUACUUAGAAAACGUUAUACUUCAAAACAACUUAAGAAUGGGUGGGAUUACAUGAAAAGACAAUAUCUCAUUUGGAGUAAAAUGAUGACUAUGACAGGACAUGGUUACAACUCUGUAACCAAAACUUUUGAUUGGCCAGCUGAAAAAUGGGAAGAAUAUCUACAAGUAGUUUUUUUUAUGGAUUUGAGUGAAUUUUAAAAAUAAUUGUCUUAUAUAUAUGUAUAUAUGACUAAUUUGUUGUUUAUCUUGUAAAAUAGAAAUAUCCAGAAACUAAACAAUUCCGUUUUAAACCAUUAGCAAAUGUGGAAGAAUUAGAGGCAUUGUUUGAAGGGGUGUUAGCUACUGGGUCUAAAAAUUGGAGCUCUGGGGGAGUGAUAGCUUCUGGGGCUGAGGAAUCAUCAACACAUUCUACAUCUAUGCCUAGCGAAACUUCAAUUAGUUUAGAAGAAGAUGAGGAUUUGCCAAGAAAUACUAAUGAUGAAGCAGAAGGUUCUAAGAAAAAACAGAAGAAAAAAUAAUUAUUCAUAAAUACUUCAUAAAUACUUCCAUGAGGUUUUAGUGGCCAUGGUGAAUUUCUCAAAAGAGAUGAUUACUCCUCCAUCAUUCAAUGAUAGUUCAAAUGGUAUCUCCAAUCGUCGGCUAAGACAAAUUUUUAAGGUACAUUAUUUUUUAUUUCUAAUUAUUCAUAUCAUAUUUGUAUUAUUCUCAUAUAAAAAUAAUUAUUUAUAUUUUAAAGAAUUAUUACCAUGUAGGAUGCUGUUGGUGCAAUUGAUGGAACUCUUAUCCAUGCAUGUAUUCCCACUAAUCAACAAGUACCUUAUCGAGGUCGUGGGAGAGGAGAGUGUUUUCAAAAUGUUAUGGCAGUUUGUGAUUUUGACAUGAUAUUUAGGUUUGUUGUUGUUGGAUGGGAAGGAACAGCUCAUGAUUCAAGAGUCUUGACAGAAACUAUUCGUAACCCGUAACAUAAUUUUCCAAUGCCCCCAUCAGGUAAAUAUUUUAUUUUCAUUUUAUUUAAUAUAAUUUGUAUUUAUUCAUUAUAAUAAUCAACUCAAUCCUUUUUUUUUCAGAAAAAUAUUAUUUAGUAGAUGCAGCAUACACACACACUCGAGGUUUUAUGGCACCAUAUCGUAAUGUGCGCUAUUGGUUGAGUGAUUUUCGUAGUAGUGGUAAAGCUGUAGGAAAAGAGGAGAUAUUCAACCAAUGUCAUGCAAGAUUAAGAAAUGUCAUUGAACGUGCUUUUGGUGUUGUUAAGGCGCGUUUUCCAACCUUGAAGAGAAUGGCACCUUAUUCGUUUACUACUCAAACAAAAAUUGUCAUGACAUGCUUCUCCAUUCACAAUUUUCUUCGACAAAUCUCAAUUGCGGAUAGAUUAUUUUCCGAAUAUGACAAUGAAGUGGAAUUGGAAAGUGACAAUGCCAAUCAAAAUCAAAACUCAACUACAAGCAGUUUUUUUGCAGCAUCUGAUCAAGAAUUCAUGCAACAGUUCCGAAACCAAAUCGCAAAUGAACUCUUUCAAGUGUUUAGUUAACUUGUCAUUUUUAGCUUUUUACCAUUGUAAGAAAUGCAAUGUUUAGAUAUUAGCAUAAAAUGUGAUGUCUUCGGAUAUUUGAAAAUAUGUACUUGAAUUGUUAUGUUUUUUCUUUAAUUUGAUUUAGGUUUUAUCAAUCUAUUAUUUUUCAUAUUAUUAAGUUUAAAUAUUUUAUUUUAAUUAUAUAAAAAAUAAAUAUAUUAAUUAUUUUUUGUAAGAAUGAUAAUGAUAAAUUAUUUAUUAUAACAAUUUUAUUAUUUUGAACUUUUUAAAAAUAAGUUAAAUUAUAUUUUUUUAAUACAUUAAAAUAUUAAGAUAUUGGUUUUCAGCAUAUAAAAAAACAAACAGCUUAAUACUUAAUAGAAAUAAAAUUUUAAAAAAACAAACAACUUAAUGCUUAAUGCUAUUAAGCAUUAUUUAGUAUUAAGUUAAAAAAAAGUUCUAUUUAGAAUUAAGCCAAAAAAACAAACGCCACCUUAAUCUAGAAACUCACAUAAUGUGAGAUGAAAAAGAUCAAAUCAAAUCAAAUUAUUUAUUCUUCCACUGAGUGGCCUUCCAGACCCACCAAAUGUAAAAUAUGGAAACAUUUCCUUUCUUCAAAAACAAUGGUUAGGCAAUGUUUAAUAUGUCAAUUGUGUUUGGUACCUUGAGUAAAUUCUGGAAUUGCAAAGAAUAGCCAGGAAGAAGCGGCAGCUUUCCCUCUCUAAGAUUCAAAAACCGAUAUCGUGAUUCAGGCAAAUGUGAGCCUCUAAUAAGUUCAUAGAUAGCAGCUCCCAAGGAGAACAUGUCAACGUUGUCAAGAUGGUCAUACUUGUCAUUCAAGAUUUCUUGUGGCAUAUAACGUGCAUCACCUUUCAUCAAUUGGAAGGCUUCUAUCAAGAAGAGUUGCACAACCAAAAUCACCAAGUUUGUAAACACCAUCUUUGACAUAAAUGUUACCAGGUUUCACAUCUAGGUGAGCUAUUCCUUUCUCAUGUGUAAAUUGCAAGGCCUUGGCAAUCUGUAGAUAAAUUUCAAGUGAAAAGAUGUUAACAAUAACUGAAAACUAAGGUCCUAGUAGAUAUUCAGAUGUUCCAGUUUCCAGUUUCCAUAGCAUUUUGGGCACACCAUUAGAAAUGGAGUCAUCAAAACAAAAAUGGAGCCAGAAAAAAGAUUAGAUUUAUCACAAAAUAAAAUAUUUUAAAAAAAAAUUAAAGAAAAACAAACAAACAAACAAAAAUGUGGUGUCACUUCUUGACACCCUGUAACUGGUCACAAAUUACAAGAAAUAGAUUUGUUAUACACAAUAUGGAAAUAAAGUAAAAAUAACUUGAAAUGCCACAGUAAACUACUAGAUACAAUUUAUCAGGAAACAAAUUUAGGACAGAGUCUAAGAGAAGGGUAGGAAAAUUGUUGAUUGAGUACUCAAAAUAUCUAUAGGUGCUCUAUAUAUGAAAUGAAUAUUUAUUAUUUUUACUUGAAAUGCCAUGGUAAACUACAAGAUACAAUUUAUCAAGAAACAAAUUUAGGACACAGUCUAAGAGAAGGGUAGGAAAAUUGCUGAUUGAGUACUCAAAACAUCUAUAGGUGCUCUACAUAUGAAAUUAGUAUUUAUCUGGCACAUUAGGCCUUUGCCAUAAAAGAAAUUAGAACAGACAAUUGAUUUUGGGCCUUUGGUUUUGUUCUGCUACUUUAGGUAGCAGUUGUCCAAAAUCAUCCUCUUACUUCGACUCUCAGCAUACUCUCUUCUAUGGGUCGCUCCAGUAUACAUUAGGUCUUUGUCAUAAAACAAAAUUAGCUUAGUCGGUUGGUUUUAGGCUUUUGUCUUUGUUUUCCUACUUUAGGCGGUGGUUGUCCAAAAUCAUCCUCUUGACUCUUGGCAUACUCUCUUCUAAGGGUCAUUCUUAUAAUCUGUUCUCUACAUGUACCAUAUGUUACAUCAUAUCACUUAUGGACUCAUUUUUAUGACAUGGGAGUCACAUAUGUAUCCUUGAAAAAAUACAUAUCAACCUUAUGCAUAGGUUCCAGGACUUCCCCUUCUGUGAACAAGUGAGAAGAUCUCUUGAUGGAUAAGCUGUGAUCACAAAGUGUAGUAACCUACAAUCAUUUCAUGAGAGGAACAAAGGAAAAAUGCUGAUUUUGGUUAGGAAAUGAACAAUGCCAAAUUUGUGGAGAAGAAAUUGUAAAAAGUGUAAAACUUAUGAAAGAUUUUAUACAGACCUAAAGCUGCCAAAGCUUGAACUUCCAUCAAAGCUUUCCUCCUGCAGAUAUUAUUGCAUAAGAAAGCUGCUCAGACAAAUACUACAAAUACCAAGCAUGAAGAAGCUACCUUUCUGUGUCUUGAUGCAAUGGUCUUGUGCUAUGUUUCACUGCAUACAUGCAACCAUCAAUUCUCUUCAGAACCUUGAAAACACGACUGAAGUUCCUGUCACCGAUUUGAUGGGGAAAAAACAUUUUAAUUGCAAAAUAUCCAAGCCCCAAAAGCUUGACCAUAUAGAUUGUGAAUACUAUAAAAAAAAAACCUAAUACUUCCACUUAAGUAUAGAAAUACUUGGGGUUUGGUUAGAUACCUCAAUCUCAUGGAAAUCUGUGUGAUAUCGGGAAAGGCUAUCUCCACCAAUAAGUGCAGGGAAAAAACCUGUAGAUUGCAGCCUUAUUCAAUUAAACCCAAGAUAUAAAAAUGAAACCAGAACAGACACUAUGAUAAUCAGCAGUAACCCCACCCAACCCCCAACUAAGUUAAAGAAAAAGGAACGAGAAGUUCCUGGAGAUAUCAGAUGAUAAGAAGAUAAUACUACGACUCUAAAUAUUUCUUAACUUUGUGAUGCAAUAUCCGAAUGAUACAAUCCACUCUAUUCUUCAUGAGCUCAUAAAUGAAUCCAUUUGUUGAUUUAUAGCAUUACAUAGAUGAAUUAAAUUUUUCAUUCUUCAGCACUAUAAUGUAAAAAAUAAACGAAUUGUCCCCAAUUUCAGUGAGUUUUGCACAGAUACAAAAAUAAUAAUCAAAUUGAGCUUGCAAUUCUCCAAUCAAAAUACGCCAUUCAAAAACGUGAAAUUUACCAGAAGAAGUCUUGGCUCAGAAUGAAAUCUUUGUUAUCGACAUCAUCGUCGAUGUUGUCGGCGGCGGUUACGGAUUCCAGAAGAUUCUGGAAGCGAGAAACUUGACCUAGCUGAACCGUCAAAUGCCUUCCUAGGGUACCCUUCAUUUCGUUCCUCUGUCUCCUCCUACUGCUUCUCUCUAGGUUUUUCUCUUUAUCAACAGAGCUCUCCCUCUCUCUCUCUCUCUCUCUCCUCUCACUAAAACUCUCUCUGUAAAUACGUUCCGAAAAAAUGGAGGUUUUGAAAUUUCGGGAAUUAAAAAAUAGUGAAAAUUUAAAAAAUGCGCGAGUUUGGCAGAGAUUGUAUGAAUCCAGUAUUGUUGAGCUUAAAAUGCACCCCGCAUCUCCUUUUGACACGUUUCCAAAUUUGGGGAUUGAGGAAGUGGGAGAGUAUUCAACGGUUUGGAUUGGUUCUUGUGGUGAAGCAAUUUAUGAUGGUAGCGUACCGCGUCAGCCUUGUAGUUUUGUGGUUAUAUUGAUUUGAUACUUCCAAGGCAGUGCGGUUGUAGUGGGCCGAAGCAUAAAGCCCACUACAAAGGACGGCCCACAAAUUUCAAAUUGCUUUUGUGUAUGGCAGGCAAAGUUGCUGUCUAAAUAUGACAACUCUUUCGUCGUUAAUUUUUUUAAAUUAUUUUUAUUAUAAACUGUAUUAUAAUGUUUAAUUUUUUUUCCAACAAUCAUUUUAGAAUCAUAUAAAUUGUUAAAAAUCUAUUGAAAUAAAAAAUAAAUUAGUUAAAAUUUGAUUAGAAUUCUUUUUCUUUUUUGGUUCUUUUCUUCUAGUUAAACUUUAUUUUUAAAUUAAUAAAUUAUAAAAUAAUGUUAAAUAUUUUUAAUUAAUUAUUGACUUAUUAGAUAUAAUUUUUAUUUAUUUAUUUAUAUGAAAAUUUUCAUGUGAUGAACUCUCAUUUAUUAGGAAAUUAUGAAAACUGUAAUUUUUUUAAUUUUUAUGAUCUUAAAAUUCUCAAAUGGACCUUAAUUUGAAUGUUAUUAAUUAUUAAUUUAUUUUUUAUUACUGUUGUAUACUGUAUGUAAAUAAGUAGUCUUCAUCCUUAAAAAAAAUUAUUUUGUUUAUUUGUAUUUUAGAAUAAAGAUAUUUGAAAAACAAUUAAUUAAAAUAAAAUUAAUUUAAUAAAUUGUAGAACAUCCUAAAAUACCAAAAUUUACUCCGUUGUUGUUUCAUAUAAUAAAGAAAAAUAUUUGAAAAUUAGUAAUUUAAUAUAUUUCUAAAUAUCCUAAAAUAUCAUAAUUGGAUUGUAAUACAAAAGUUUAUAAUGAUGAAUGAUAUGAUAACUUAAAAAAUUGGUAAUAAGAUGGUAAUUAGGAUUUCUAAUUAUGUUCAGUUAAGUAAAAAACAUAAAGUUUUUUUAUGUCAAAUUCUAUUUAUUAGUAAUUACUCCGUGUUGUGUGUGUAUAUAUAUAUAUAUAUAUAUCAAAUUUAGAAAAUUGUGAAUUUUUUUAUAUUGACUUUUUAUCCAAAUUAACUAAUUUUUAUUUUAUUAAAUUUAUGUUUUUAGUAAUAAUUUUUUGGAAAAUAAAGAAAAUGACAAAAAAAGAUUAAUUAUAUUCUUUUAUUUCUUAGGAUAACUUUAUUAAUUUAUGACAAAUUUAUUUUUGAGUCAAAUGUAUAAAAUUUAAGUAUGACCUAGUUUUUUAUUUUUAAAAUAAGAAACUUUUGUACAAAAGUAGAGAUAUUAAUGAGUCAUUGAACUAUCCAUAUGGUUGAGAGUUCUUACCAAUGUUUUUAGAAUCGAACCGAAUAUUGAACCGAAAAAAUUACUGGUUCACGGUUCACUAAUCGGACCGGUAGUCAAACUGGUAAUGUCAUAAAUAUAUAUUUUAUAUAUUUAUUAAAAAUAAAAAUAAUUAUAAAAUAUUUAAAAUAUAUAAUUAAAAAUUAAAUAAUAUUUACAAUAUUAUUUAUUCAUUUUUAUAUACAUGUAUUAAUGGUUUAAAUUUAUUAAACAAAAUAUAUACAAUAUUUAAAUACGACAAUAUAUUCAAAAUGGUAACUAAAAAAAAAGUUGUAUUUAUAUAUGAAAACAAAUUGAAAAUGAAAAAAAAAACAUAUGUGAUAUAUAUAUAUAUAUAUAUAUAUAUAUAUAUAUAUAUUAUUUGAAAUAGACUAUGUAGUUAUUUUCUGUUAAAAAUUAACACAAAUGAGCUUGUGGUUCUAGGUUCAAACCCCCUUGUUGUAGUCCGUAGGAAAAAAGUUGAUUUUUGCUUUUAAGUCCUUUUACCUUAUCCCACAUUGGAAGUAAGAGGAAAAAUAAAGUGCUUUACAAAUCUCUUCCCAUGUAACUCAAGUUGGACAGUCAAGCCAAGUGGUUGUUGGGCCUUAUGGCUCAACUCUUGAUUAAGGGUCCAUUUUACAGGAUGGGUGUGGGCAAUGAAUGUUAGGCCGGGGAGAGGAUACAAUCCGUUUUGCCAAAAAAAUGGGUAGGCCAACAAUGUUGGGUCGUGAGGGAAUGGACUAAAGUGGCCCACUUAGUCAAAUAAAAGUUGGGGUGUUGAACCGUUCGGUUCUCCAAAAACCGUCCGGCCCGCUAAUUGAUAACCGGCCUAAAAGGGGGAACUGGAUUGGAACGGUUGUACCGGCCGAUUCGGUCCGGUUUUUAAAACACUGGUUCUUAUAACUUUGGCACAACACAAUUAUAAGGGGCAUGUUGUGCCACCGAGCUAAUAGUUCAUCAUACAAGUCUUCCAUUAAGGACCCACUAUACCAAGAGCAAGAGAAACUUCAUCAUUAUUUUGUCUUUUUUGGGCUUCUAUGUCACCACAUAAAAGGGUACAACAUAAUAAUGACAUGAGUUUGGUCUUACUUCACCUUAUAGGUGGUGAAUAUGGUGAUGGUCAUUUUUGCAAAUUGAAGCUUAAAUAAUGUAAGUGACAAUAUAGAAAAUGAUAUAAUAAAAAUCAAUAUAAGAACAAAUUGCAAAUAAAUAAAGAAAAUGAGAGGGGGGAGGGGGAGGAGGGAAUACAAACUCAAAAUUUUACAGCAAUUUGACACAACUCAACUUACAUUUACUCUCCUCAAGUUUUCAAUCGAGUGACAGUUUUUUUAACAAGGCUUCUAACUCAAACCUUCAAGUUUACAAUGGACUAUAGUUCCAAUCAACUUUCUUGGACUUCUAGCUCCAAAUACCUUUUUGGAUUAUUGUUUUAAAUAUACUUUAUAACAAAAAAUUUCAAUAUAAAGCAUUGUUUUCAUAAUCAAACCAGUGACAUCAUAAAUAUAUAAUUUAUAUUUUAAUAAUAUUAAAAAUAAUGAUAAGAAAUUAUAUAUAUAUAUAUAUAUAUAUGUAUGUAUGUAUGUAUGUAUGUAUGUAUGUAUGUAUGUAUGUAUUUUGUUAUUUUAAAAUUUUUAAAACUAUUAUAUUAAUUAAUUUAUAUUAUUUUUAUAUUUAUAAUUAAUAAUUAUUAUACCAAUAAUGGUAGAUAUAAAUAUUUAUAUUUAUUUAAAUGUUCUAUAUGAUAAAAAUUUAAAGAUAUAUACAUAUUUUCCAUGUUGUUGACCAAAUAGCUGUGUAAGUUGGUGGUCAACCACUCGUUAUGUAAACUACAUGUCCUAGGUUUCAAUUCCCCUCCAUGUGAAGCUUAUUUUAUUAUUAUUAAGGCCUAACCUAUCUCACAUUGAAAUUCCUACAAAGCAUUUAUGUAGUAUUUAUACCUUCACAUCACAAGAGAAAGUUAAUUGCAAUAGAAUAUAGUAAAUGAGCUUGGAAGGAAGUGAGAAAUGAGACAGUUCAAACUCUAGACGGUCUAUUUCACCAAACCAAAUCGAAAAGGCCAUCAGUCGAUGGUUAAACCGGUCGGUCCGAUCAUGUUUUCAAAACAAUGAAAUUAGGGUUGAAUGAUACACUAAAAUGAAAUGCAAGUUUAAAAGUAAAUGCAGAUCUAAAAACAUUCUCUUAAUGCUUCAAAUAUAGUUAAAAAACAAUUUAGAACUUGUUAGCCCAAGGGUUCUCCUAAUCGAGUUUUGAUAAUAACAAAUCAUGGUUAAGUGACUAAUUGUUUUAAAUGGUAAAGAAUCUGAGGUAUAAAUUCAGAAAUUCAUCAAAUGACCAAAUGGAUACAAGAUCAAGACUUUGGGAAGACUUUUGAUCAUAGGAAAUGAAUGUAAGAUGAAUGCAUGGGUGCACUUAGGAUUUUCAUACCGUUUCAUGCAUCUUAGAAAACUUGGUUUAUCCUUUAAAACUUCGAUUUCAUUAAAACCCAAGUUUUAACAAAUGUACCUUGGGCAAAAAGUUUUAAAAUUGACAUAUUAUUUCACCUAAAGACCUUGCCCAAGUGUUAGAAAAGAAAGGAAUUGAAAAAGAUAGGUUUUCGGGGCCAAAAGACUGAACCGGUCGAGACUCUGGCCAAACGGCUCAACCGGUUGUCCUUGUCCGGUCGAGGUCCAGUCGAGGAGUGCCAAAAACACUUUCUCUCAUCCAGUAACUUCAUCUUCCCAGUUGAGGUCCGGUCGAGACAACGAUAACCUGCCAAACAUUAAAUGCUCUAACGACUAGUGAACCAGUUGAACCCUAGCUCGACCGGUCGAGGCUCUUUUUUGCUGUUUUUGGCUCCCGAGCUUAGAAACCUAUAAAUUGAGAGCUCCACUUCAUUUAUGAAUAAGAGAACACUUGCAAUCAAUUGUCUACCUACCUGUUCUUAACCAAAAAGCUUUCAUUUCUUUCUUAGUGCAUUAAAUCAUCACUUGCAUAUCCUUUAAUGCACUCUUGUGUGUCAUCCUAGCUUUGUCUUGUAUUUGAGUUAUCUUUAAGCUAGGUUGAGGGAUUCAUUCUUGUAAAAACUGAGUGUUAAAGCCUUCAAGAGGUUUGAAUCUUGAAGAGAUUAUGUAAGAGCCCAUUAGAGCCGAAAUCCAAGUGUAAGAAGAUUGGAAGCUUGGUUGAAGCUUCAAGUUAGUGGAACCCUUACUCAUUUAGGAGAUUGAGGAGAGUGGACGUAGGCAAGGAAGUUCUGAACCACUAUAAAACACGAGUUUGAAUUCUCUAACUCUAUCUCUUUAUUUUUGUUUAUAUUGUGCUAGAACUUGUUGUGUUUGAAAAGAUAUUAAAAAACCUAAUUCACCUCCCCCAUCCCUUUUUGGGUGUUUUUCUUAAUUAAGCAUAUCCUUUAUUUUCUCAUAACUCUUUCUUGUUCAAUAUAAGAGUUGAAAGCCACUAGAUAUAAUUUGAGUAUUGAUUAACCAACCAAUUGAUCAACUACUAAUCAUCAAGGUUACCAUUUCCCAACUAACUCAACCGAUUGAGACUUAGCCUAACCUUGUUGAACCAAGGUUAUGCCAGUGAUUGGAGCUAAAUAUGUGCUCCAAUAUAAUAUAAUUUAUACAAUAUAAAAAGUUCAAAUCAUCAAACUUAACUUAAAUUGAUGCUAAGAUCCUAACUAUGGAUCUAACUUCCAUUUUUGAACCUAAUUCUAGAUUUAAGGGGUAAAAAGAAUGCUUAGUACAAAUUUCAUUCUCAACCAAGGGAGUAGAAAAUGUUAAAUAUACAUAAAUGAGAGACUUUGCUCUUGUGAACCAUAAAAAGUCCAAAUAAAAGCAUAAUGAGAAAACCAUAGGCAUGAGAUACUAGCAACGAAUAUUAUGAAAUGAGAUAAAAGGCAAGCAAUCAUAAUGAAAGAAGUUUGAAGCAAAUACAAUCAAAUUCACAUGGAAAUUUGGAACUCAAAAAUUGGCCACAACAAGCACUCUAAAUUUGAGGUGAAAUUUAGAGUACUUUCCAAAGUCAUUUUUGAGCAUGUUAUAUUUCAUUUCAAAGUUUGGGAAGUCAAGAGUCCAACACUUCAUAUUAUGUGCAAAUCAAAGCUGAAAUGAAAAAGUUAUGUGUGUUAGAAGCAAAGUAGUAGUAGGUAAGUUCAAAAUUCAAAAUGAAUUAUGAACUCACCAUGGUGAUUUCAAAUUUGGCACUUUUUUUCCACUUAUGAGUUCAAAAUUGAUUUGUGUUAAACUAAGGUUUGGUUAAUCUCGAUUUUGAUGAUAACAAAAUAAGGUUUGAAACUAAUGAUUAUAUUUCAAGUAUGAUUAGGAAAGACGAUUUCCAAAGUGGCAAUUACAAAAAUAAAAUCAAGUCAAAGAGAAAUCAAUUAGAAAAAGAAGACCUCAAAGAUAAGUGUUUUUCAAGACUUAAGUUUCAUAGGAUCUCUUUAUAAAGUUGUUGGUGCACUAGGUCUUUCAUGCAUUACAUUAUUAAUUUAUGCACCAAAAUCAUCCAGAAGUAAUUUUGUUUUAAAUCCUUUAAAAUCUGAUGAUUUCAUGUUUUCAACUAAAACAUUGUAUUAAAUAUUUUUCAAACUUGUUUAAAAGGUUUUAAGUUGAAAAUGAUAGUUGUUGAGCCAAAAACAACUCAAUCGGUUGAACCAAAUGAGGAAUCGGUCGACCUAUUUAGCUCAACUGGUCAAAUGAUACAAAAACUUUCUCUUUCUUCUAUACGGUUGUUUAACUAGUUAAGGUUGAACCUCAACCGGUUGAAGUUUGGUCAAAGGGCGGUCAAGGUCCAACAGUCACUUGCCAAGUAUUAAAUAUUAAAGGCUAGUCAAUCGAUUGACCCCCUACUCAACCAGUCGAACCCCCAAUGGCUAGUUUGGUCGUUUUCUUCUAUAAAAAGGCUUCAAUCUUUAUUAUUUCAUGAGCUUAACCUUCCUAAACAUUUCUUGAAUAUAUUUGAGUCUUGGGCAAGUGUUUUUUAGUACACUAUUAUUUUAAAACUUGCAUAUCAUUAGUGCAUCAUUCAAUCCUAUUUUUCUUGUAUCAUUUGAGCCUUAAAGUUUUGUACUAGGAUUUUGUGAGAUCAUUUAUUAUCUUCAUUUGUAAAUCUAUGAGAAGAAAAGUCUAAGUGUAAAGUAUCACUUUGGGAUUCUCAAGUGUGGGGUAUCACUUGAGGGGUUGUUCAAGAGUGGGGUAUCUCUUGAGAAGUGUAAAGGAUACUUAGAGCCAAAAGUCCAAGAGGGUUGAUUGGACCCAUAAUUCAAUUGUAUUGUUUGAAGGUUUGUUUUGGAAGCCUUGAAUUAGUGGAACCUCAAGCUUAGGAUUGAAGCUAGAGGAGAGUGGACGUAGGUCGGGUUGCGCCGAACCACUAUAAAAUCUUGUGUUUGCAUUCUCUUUUUCCUUACUCUCUUACCUUAUAUGCAAUUAUUUUUAUAUUAUUUUAUUAUGUAUUUGCAUAUAAUUAUCUCUUGCAUUCACAUAAUUUAAAUUUGCAAAAAGAGACUAUCACCCUAUUCACCCCCCUCUAGGGUGAUUACCAUAGGUUGGAUUUGCCUAAUUUUUCUAACAAUUUGGAACUCACCUCAAUUUCGAAUUCAACCAUUGGUGAUCAAGUUUUGAGCUCUAAAACAUACCAAAAAUGAGUUCCAAAUGCCUCAAUCUAAUUCAAAAUGCAUUUUACUCAUUUGGAACUCAUAAUAUUUAGAGUUUUUUUUAGGUUUUUUUUUUAUAAUUUUUCUCCAUAAUAAGUGGACAAUGGAAGUGUAUCACAUGUUAGGAUAUUGAAUUUAUUAAACUCUUUUAUUUCUAGGUUUUGAAGGAGGAAAAGAGGAAGAUAGAAUGUAGGGAGUGAAAUCUCCUCUUAAAAGUCUUUAAUAGAGUUUUAGGUUUUCUUUUCUUUUUCAAUCUUUCUAUUUUAUUUUCUUGGCAACCAAACAUGGGUUGUAAAAAGAAACCCUCUAUCAUGUUUGGCUAACUUGAUUGAUCCAAAUCUGAUAACAUGAUGAAGGUGAAGAAUCCAAAGAAAAGUAGCAAGAACAUGACAAAAUAUGGUUUUCUUUAUGUUUUCAAGAUUUAAUUGAUAAGAAUAAAUCUUUUACAUGAGAUCACUAUAGAUAAAUUACAAAUGAUUCUUAUCAAGAUAGUAGUCAUUCUUGAGAAGACAUUGAUCACUAAUUACUAUAAUUUGGUCUUACUAUUAACGAAUUUAAGGGUCAAAUCUACAAAAAUGGAUAUAGGCUUUGAUUGAAUAAAAUUGAAAAUCAAAAUUGACCAUCACCUAUCAUUGUGAGUUUGUGUUGGGGAAUGAUAUAGUAGAUUAUUACCUAAUACUAGUGAUUUUUGGUAACUUUUGAUCAUUAGUUAUCUUAAUCUUCUUUAUCGUUAUUUUUUCCUAAAAUAAAGCUACAAGGAGUAGGAAAUGUUAAAAAGUCAAACUUUGAACCAAUAAUUAACUUUUAAUCUCAUUCACUUGAUGGUUUUAGAAAUAUGUUUUAAAAAGAAAAAAAAAAGUUUUGGAUGUAACAUUAAUCUUAGGAUUCAAUUUGGUUGUGGAUUGACUUUCAUCCUAAACCCUAGAUUUUAUAAUGCUAUCCUUCUAAGAAUUUGACACUAGAUUAUGAAACUCUCUAGAACAUUCUUUUUUUAAUUUGAUUUAUUUCAUUUAAUAUUCAAGAAAUCUUUAUUCUUAUUUAUUUAAAUUAGGAUUUUAUUAUCUUAAACAAAUAAUUAAUCAUUUUAAUCUAAAAACAAAUAAACACAUUAUAGCUAAUUCCAAAGGACCACACCCCAAAAUAUUACUAAGUCAUGGUAAUUCUAUCUCUGUUUUUUCUUAGCUAGAGUUAUCUUACAAUAAAAUUGAGCAUUUUUUAUCUCCUUAAUUAGCUGAGUCUAACCAAAUUAACUAGUUCUCUUGUACCUCAAUGGAUUGCACAUUUUUAAGACCGAAUUAAGGUUGGUAAACCUCGAUUAAUAGCUCCUCAAUCUUUCAAAAACCUUUCAAAAUAUUUUACUCACAUUAAAACUUAGAUUUUUUCCUUACAUCAAUUGUUUUCAUCUAAUUUAUAAAAGAGUGCAAAACAAUUUAGCACUUUAAUGACUUUAGGUGCUUAAGUAAAAAUGAAAUGUAAUAUGAAUUAAUGAACCAAUAACUUUACAAACAGAUCUUAUAAAAAUUAACUUUAAAUACCAUUUUUAAGGUCUUAUCUUUAUUAUUGAUUUAUUUUCGACUUGAUAAUUGUUUUUAUGAAUAUAUAUAUAUAUAUAUUCCGCAUCUAGUCCUUCACUAAAGACCUCUUUCUGUAGUUGCAUUUUAACUAAGCCUCCUUGAAAUUUUGUUUUCAAUAAUAAUUUAUGUGUUGAAUUUUGGCUAUACAUGCUUGUGAAGAGAAGUAUUGUUGCUACAAUUAUUUAGCUAUUCUCGCUAGGCACAACUGUUUUUUUUUUUUUUUUUUUUUUGUUUCGCUUGAUGCUGAUAAGACAUUUUGUGAUCAUCUCUUUCUUCAUGAUUCAAAGCUCAUAAAUCAUUCCUACUUUCAGCAUACGUUUGUGUGGAAUGUCGAAUGUCUUCUCCUUCUGUCUCAAAUUCUUCUUCAAGAUAUUAUAGCCAACAUUUAUCAAAACCUUCUUUCCUAAUUUGGAGCCUUUCUUUGCCAUCACCUCAAUCUCACCGAUCAAGUGUACCACACCUGCUUGCGUUGCUCUGUCAAUUGCUUCAAUAUCUUUAUCAACAUCUUCUUGGCGUCUUUCUUCAUCAAUUCGUUUUGAUUCUUCAUUCUCAUUCUCGCCAUUAAUCAACUCAUUUUGCAACUCUCCAGAAACCAUGUCUUCAUUACUGUGUGUUAAUGUCGGGGUCAUCAUCAUAUCUUCUCUUAUGAACUCCUUCAAUCUUUCAACUAGCAAUCUCUCAAAAGGCUCUUCCUCGGAUCGCACAUCAGUGUACCCAUACCUCACCACACACCGGAACACAUAAAGAUUGUCUGGGUUUACCCUGCGGAAGAGGAACCGUUCCUCCAUUGGAACCUUGCUUAUGGGGAGAGACUUGAUUGAGACGAAAACAAGAACUGAAUGCAAUGCAGACACAUUUUCCAUGUAAUGCUUGAAGAUGGGCGGGAUGCCAUGAACAAGCUCAGAGUAGAAGAUGGCUAGUCCUGGUAUUCUACUAAAGUUUGUGCUCGCUACUAAUUCCUUCACCAUCUCAGGAGAAAUCUUGUGAUCCAGAUCAUAAUAGUAUUUCCUCCGGUACACAUCAUUCCAAAUGUACAUUAUGGUCAUCAGAACUAAGGCAAAGGCCAAGGGUAGAUACCCGCCUUGAUCAAACUUGUAAAGGACUGAACUUAGAUACAGAAGCUCAAUGCUACCAAUGACCACAACAUAUGAGAUCACAAGUAGGAUAUGGGUUUUCCAUAUCAUGAUCAUCACAAGAACCAGAAAUGAUGAGGUGAGGGUCAUCACGAACACCACCGCAAUCCCUACACCAACAAAGACUCACAAUCAUGAUCAUUUCGAAAUAUCAUGCACCAAGCUCGAAAAAAGUUGAAAAAUGAAGAUCUGAAAGAAGGAUGGGUGGAUUACCAUAUGCAUUUCCAAUCUUUGUGGUAGUCUUGAACCCAACAGUGACCCCUACACAAGCCAGCAUGAGAAGGUAAUUGACCUCAGGAAUGUAUACUUGCCCUUCAUACUUAGUCGAUGUAUGCACAAUCUUCACCCGAGGAAAGCACCCCAGCGAGAGCGACUGCUGGAUAAUGGAGAAAGUCCCGGAAAUCAUUGCUUGACUGGCAAUGAUUGAUGCGGACACAGCCACAACAAACAUCGGCCAGUACAGACCAUCUACACCAAAGAAAUUAACCCACCUAAAUAAACCAAUAAAAGAACCAACAAGAAGACAGAAAACAUACUCUAAUGCAAGAAUGCUUACGUGGUAUGGACUUAAAGAAAAUGUCACCAACAUCCUCAUGGUGUUUCCGAAGAAAAGAGGCUUGACCAGUAUAUGCCAAUACAAGAGCAGGGUAUGUGAUAGUGCACAUACUUAUCUGUAUCGAUUGAACUGUGAAGUGGCCAACAUCAGCAAACAGCGCCUCCGUCCCUGCAUUUCCCGAAAACAAUCUGAGAAAUUUCUCAAGUUAAUGAUGGAGGAGAAUUGAUUAAUGAUCCACAUCCAAACCUGUUAUGGAGAGGACGACCCCACCAAGGGAAAUCCAGGCUUGUUUCUUGUUCCUUCUGAAGUAAUCGAUGAUGUACUUGGGAUUAAUGGCUUUAACAACUGUUGGAUCAAACUUGAUGAAGUUGUAGACCCCAAUGCCGCUAAUUAACGCGAACCAAACACAGAUUAUUGGAGCAAAACUGUAUCCAACUUUGUCAGUUCCAAAUCUUUGAACCAUGAAGAGGCAUACCAAAAUGACUACUGAUAUCCAAACAAUCAUAUCUGUUUGCACAAAGGAAAAUGGUAUUGAAAUUAAAAUAAAAUUUAUUUAUUUUUUCAAAUUGAGGAACAAAAAUGAUCAAUAACAUGCUUAUGUAACCAUUUUUUUUAAAUUAUUUUAAGAUGAUAAGACACUUUUAUUGUAUUUAAUAAGUUAGACUAUUACCUUUGUAUAUCUGCCAUGACUAAGGAAGUGGACAAGUCAAAAUGUUAUUAAAAAUAAUUAUAUGAGGAUGUUAUUGUAAUUUGAAAGGAUUAUUUUAAAUUUGUCAACAAUGCAAAGUUGCAAACCAAUUGGUUUUUUUUUUUUUUUUUUCCUUUUUGUUUACUUAAAAAAAGGGGAAAGAUUCCAAGUUAAUGUGGCCAGUUGAGAUUUCCUAAAGUUAUUUAUAUAAGCCAUUGGAUUCAACACUUUUGUCCACACUUUAGUAGUCAAAAUUGUACGAUCUCAUUUAUUAUCAAUUAAUUUGGUCCAAUUCAAUUUCUUUUUUUAGGGUUAUUUAAUUAAAAGAAAUAAAAUAAUUACAAAAAUACCAUUCAUUUUUAUUUUAUUUUUUGUAAAAAUAUUUUUUUAAAAAAAUUUAUAAAAAAUUAUCCAAAUAUUAAAUAAAAAUUUAUUUUAGUAGUUGAUUUUAAAAGUUGAGAAAGAUUACCUUGUGUCAUUGAAUCCAAUGCUACCUUGAUGCCACCCACAGCUGAUAAAACUGUGACAUGCAAAGUCAAAUGUCAAAUACACAACAUGAAAGUGAAGGAGGAAACCCAUUUUCCUUGUCAGCUAAAAUCCAACUAAAUUAAUUUGCAUCACAAUUUUGGUUUUUGUGAAAGACGCCAAUCCUAAAUAUUCCUACCCAAUAAGAAAACUUAAUAAUAAAGAAGAAAGUUGAAUGCAUAUUCCCCCAUAUAUAUGUUUUUUGGUAACAAAAAUUUGUGAAAGGAAAAGCCAUUUAUUAUGAAAGAAGGAAACCUUUUAAUCUCAAACUAAAAAGGAUGAUGUAAAUUAUGGUGGCUUUUUACUUUCCAAAAGUAAGAAAAGUAUUUUCAAAUUAAAAAUUGUGAUGUGAAAACAAAGAUGAAAAAAAGAGCUCUUUUAAAAAAUACGUUAAUAAGGGGGAAUAAAGCAGAAGUAUUUCAUUAAAUUUGUAUGUAAAUGUAAAGAAGAAGGAUAAAAACUAAGCUAACCUGAGAUGCAAGGAGUGAGGACACCAUCACCAAUCACCAUGGAAGUGCCAAGCAUUGUGGCAAACAACAGAAAGAGCUUAGCAAAGUUGCUCUUCUCUAGCUUGGACUUGAGCUUUGAUGCCAUCUGCAGUCUUUUACUAGGCAGCUCCAACCGGAAAUUGGAGACUUCUCUGUCCUCAGCCUGUUGACUAGGGAUCAGCCCCACCUUGGCAUAUCGGCAUAUAAGAGAAUACAAAGCAAAUGUCCCUCCUGAAAAUAAUAAUAACACAAAUGUGAUAUUCAUCACCUAAGCUUAAUGGGUUAUUUUCCUUUUUCGGAGUUAUAAUGUGACCGUAUAUUUAGAGUUGAAAGGGAAGAAAAGAUUAUAAAAAAGAUUCAUUGGAUUGAGAGCACAACUGUUGAUCAUUGAUUAAGCACAUAAGAGGGAAGUUUCCCUUCCCCAUUUGGAGCCUGCAAGGUUAUUUUAACGGCUAAGUCACACAAUUUGUUCCAUCACAGUUGGCCUUCAAAGGUGUUUUCCACUCAUCCCAUCAAUGAUCAAGACUAGCAAAAAUGGCAAGAAAAGAAAAGGGAAAAAAGAAUCACAGUUGGUUUGGAAAAGUUUUAAGAUCAAAGUAGCAUCUUUCUAAUAAGAAAAGAUGAUGGGUUCAAGCCAUAAAAGAAAACAAAAAAAGGAAAAGGAAAGAUAGAAAAAGAAGAUCAAAGUAGGAUUCAUUUGAAUUAAAAUCAAAGGUCAUUCAUGAUGAUGAGCUCUCACCACCGCCAUUAUCAUUGGCCUUCAAAACAAUCAAGACAUACUUGAAGAGAGGGAUGAGGGUGAGGGUGUAGAAGAUGAGAGAAAGAACCCCCAGAAUAUCAUCAUUAUGUUUGACACCAUCAGUGAAAGUGCUUGCAUACACGUACAAAGGCGAAGUUCCAAUGUCCCCAUACACUAUUCCAAUGCUCUGAAACGCCAGGUGCAGUAUCACAGACCAGUUCUUGGAGCCCUUCAAAACAGAAAAUAAAAAGAUAAAAAUAAAUAAAUAAAAUAAAAUAAAAAAUCAAAUCUUCUUUUUCCCAGUUACCAUGCAUGCAGAUACAGAAUAACAAGAAAAUGAUAUCAGGAAGUGGGGGUGCAGACCCUGGAGCUAUGGUGGCUUUGGCCAUGGACAGUCCCGGUCUCCAUGUCUAAGGAGUCCAUACGACGUAGUUCUCCGCAUGAGAGUUUCUUUGAUUUGAGGCCUUGAUCAUGGGUCUCGUCAGGGCUGUUUACCACAUCAGAAGACAUUUUCUAUGAUCCGAAAAGGGCUUUGAUUAGCCUGGAGGUUUAGCAGAAGGAGGAGAGGCCAAUUUAAAGGCACAGAAAGGUCUGAAAGAAGUGAAGAAGAAACAUGAAGUUCAAGGUGGGAGAUGUCGAUGGACAUCCCCCAAAUGUUUGCUUCUUGGUUUUACGCUUCUUACCUUCCUUGCCCUGCCCUGACUUUUGGUUGACAACCGCAUGGUUGAUUUUAUGAAUUAGUAAAUGAAAUUAUGAGUGUCCUUCUUCCCCAUUUAUUUUCCAAAUUUAGUAGAAAACGCGUCAUCAGUGAAUGGUUGAAUGGUUGAUAUCAGAAGCCAAUAAUUUGUUCUUCAAGUUUGGCAUUUUCUAAAUUUAUGAUAUUUUUUAUGGUAUUAAUUAAAAGAUAUUUUUCAUGGUGAUAAUUAAAAGAUAUUUUUGGAAAGAUGACUUCCAAUUAUAUUCCUUUACAAAUUUGAAAAUAUUUUUUGAAUUAAUAUAUUACUAUAUUUAUUAAAUUCCCAUCAAAGAAGCCAUGUUGCUACAAUUUUUUUGGCUAUUCUAUCUAGCUACAAUUGAUACUAAUGGGACAAUCUUUUGAUGCCUUCCCAUGUUUCAAAGCUCAUAAAUCAUUCCCACUUUCAAUAUACGUUUGUGUGGAAUGUCAAACACCUUCUCUGUCUGUCUCAAAUUUUUCUUCAAGAUAUUGUAGCCAACAUUUAUCAAAACCCUCUUUCCAAAUCUGGAGCCCUUAUCUGCCAUCACCUCAGUCUCACCGAUCAAGUGCACUACACCCACUUGUGCCGCGCUAUCAAUUACUUCAAUAUCCUUCUUAACAUCCUGUUGAUGUCUUUUUUCAUCUAUUUGCUUUGAUUCUUCUCUCUCGUUCUCACCAUUAAUCAACCCAUCUUGCAGCUCUCCAGAAACUAUGUCUCCACUAUUGUGUGUUAAUGUCACGGUCAUCAUUAUCUCUCCUCUUAUGAACUCCUUCAAUCUUUCAACCAGCAAUCUCUCAAAAGGCUCUUCCUCAAAACGCACAUCGGUGUACCCAUACCUCACCACACAUCGGAACACAUAAAUAUCAUUUGGUUCUACCCUGCGGAAGAGGAAUCGUUCCUCCACUGGAACCUUGCUUAUGGGGAGAGACUUGAUUGAGACGAAAACAAGAACUGAAUGCAAUGCAGGCACAUUUUCCAUGUAAUGCUUGAAGAUGGGCGGGAUGCCAUGAACAAGCUCAGAGUAGAAGAUGGCCAAUCCUGGUAUUCUACUAAAGUUUGUGCUCACUACUAAUUCCUUCACCACCUCAGGAGAAAUCUUGUGAUCCAGAUCAUAAUAGUAUUUCCUCCGGUACACAUCAUUCCAAAUGUACAUUAUGGUCAUCAGAACUAAGGCAAAGGCCAAGGGUAGAUACCCUCCUUGAUCAAACUUGUAGAGGACUGAACUUAGAUACAGAAGCUCAAUGCUACCAAUGACCACAACAUAUGAGAUCACAAGUAGGAUAUGGGUUUUCCAUAUCAUGAUCAUCACAAGAACCAGAAAUAAUGAGGUGAGGGUCAUCACGAACACCACUGCAAUCCCUACACCAACAAAGACUUGCAAUCAUGAUCAUUUUGAAACAUCACUAAGCUCGAGAAAAGCUGAAAAAUGAAAAUAUGAAAGAAGAUGUGGGUAGAUUACCAUAUGCAUUUCCAAUCUUUGUGGUAGUCUUAAACCCUGCAGUGACCCCUACACAAGCCAGCAUGAGAAGGUAAUUGACCUCAGGAAUGUACACUUGCCCUUCAUACUUAGUCGAUGUAUGCAUAAUCUUCACUCGAGGAAAGCACCCUAGUGAGAGAGACUGCUGGAUAAUGGAGAAAGUCCCAGAUAUCAUAGCUUGACUGGCAAUGAUCGCCGCUGACACAGCCACAACAAACAUCGGCCAGUACAGACCAUCUGCACCAGAGAAACCCCACCUUAACCAAUAAAAAAACUAACAAGAAGACAGAAAACAAACUCUAAAGCCAGAAUGCUUACGUGGUAUGGACUUGAAGAAAAGGUCAGCAACAUCCUGAUGGUGUUUCCGGAGAAAAGAGGCUUGUCCAGUAUAUGCCAAUACAAGAGCUGGGUAUGUGACAGCGCACAUACUUAUUUGAAUUGAUCGAACUGUGAAGUGGCCAACAUCAGCAAACAGCGCCUCCGUCCCUGCAUUUUCCCGAAAACAAUCUGAGAAAUUUCUCAAGUUAAUGAUGGAGGAGAAUUGAUUAAUGAUCCACAUCCAAACCUGUUAUGGAGAGGACGGCCCCACCAAGGGAAAUCCAGGCUUGUUUCUUGUUCCUUCUGAAGUAAUCGAUGAUGUACUUGGGAUUAAUGGCUUUAACAACUGUUGGAUCAAACUUGAUGAAGUUGUAGACCCCAAUGCCGCUAAUUAACGCGAACCAAACACAGAUUAUUGGAGCAAAACUGUAUCCAACUUUGUCAGUUCCAAAUCUUUGAACCAUGAAAAGACAUACCAAGAUGCCUACUGACAUCCAAACAAUCCUAUCUGUGUCCAAGAAAAAAUUUAUUUGAGUUAGAAUCAUUAUUUAAAUAAAAUUAUAAGAAAUGUAAGAAAUAAAAUUUAUUUACUUUUUUCAACUGAGGAAAAAAAUAAAAAAUAAAAUAAUAAUAAAGAAAGAAUGGUUAAUAAUUUAUUGUAUAUAAUAAUAAUAAUAAUAAUAAUAAUAUGAUUACAUAUAACCAUUUUUUUUAAAAAAAAUUAUGAUGAUGGGAAAUUUUUAUUGUAUUUAAUAAUUUAAACUUUUACCUUUUCAUCAGUCAUGAUUAAGAGGACAAAUCAAAAUAUUAUUAAGAAUAAUUAUACGAGGAUGUUAUUGUAAGUUGAAAGGAUUAUUUUAAAUUUGUCAACAGUGCAAACCCAUUAUUUUAUUUAUUUUCUUUUUCCUUAAAGAGGGUAAAUAUUCCAAGUUAAUAAGCCAUUGGAUUCAACACUUUUUUCUACACUUUACUAGUCAAAAUUGGACAAUCUGAUUUUUUUAUCAAUUAAUUUGGUUCAAUUCAAUUUUUUUGUAAUUAAAAGGAAUAAAAUAAUUAUAGAUUUACAAAUCUUUAAAAAAAAAAAAAUGACCUACAAAAAUACCAUUCCAUUUUUUUUUGAAAAAAUAAUUUUUUUUAAAAAAAAUUAUAUAAAAAUUAUCCAAAUGUUAAAUAAAAAAAUUAUUUUAGUAGUUGAUUUUAAAAGUUGAGAAAGAUUACCUUGUGUCAUUGAAUCUGUGACUUCCUUGAUACCACCCACAGCAGAUAAAACUAUAACAUGCAAAGUCAAAUGUCAAAUAUAUAUACAAUAAAAGACUGAAGGACAAAACUCAUUUUCUUUGUCAACAAAAAUUAAUAAUAAAGAAGAAAGUUGAAUGCAUAUUCAACCAUAUACGUAUAUCUACUUAAAUUAGUCAUAAGUAAUUUUCAAUGAUAAUAAAAGAUAACUUUAGAAAAAGCUAAGCACAAGAUGUUUUUUGGCAACAAAAAUUUGUAAAAGGAAAAGACAUUUAUUAUGGAAGAAAAAAACCUUUUAAUCUCAAAUUAACUAAAAAAGGAUGAUGUAAAUUAUGUUUGUUUUUUAUUUUCAGAGUAAGAAAAGCAUUUCCAAAAAAUGGUAGUGUGAUGUGGUUUUUAUUUUCCAAAGUAAGAAAAGUAUUUCCAAAAAAAAUGAUAUUGUGACAUGGUUUUUAUAUGAUUUUUACUUUCCAAAGUAAGAAAAGUAUUUCCAAAAAAUGGUAGUGUGAUAUGGUUUUUACUUUCUAAAGUAAGAAAAGUAUUUUCAAAAAAUAUAUGUGAAAACAAAGAUGAAAGGGAAAAAAAAAAUCCCUUUUAAUAAAUGCAUAAGGAAAAAUAAAGGUGUAUGACAUUAUGUCAUUAAAUUUGUAUGUAAAUGGAAAGAAGGAUAAAAACUAAGCUAACCUGAGAUGCAAGGAGUGAGGACACCAUCACCAAUCACCAUGGAAGUGCCAAGCAUUGUGGCAAACAAUAGAAAGAACUUUGCAGAGUUGCUCUUCUCUAGCUUGGACUUAAGCUUUGAUGCCAUCUGCAGUCUUUUACUAGGCAGCUCCAACCGGAAAUUGGAGACUUCUCUGUCCUCAGCUUGUUGACUAGGGAUCAACCCCACCUUGGCAUAUCGGCAUAUAAGAGAAUACAAAGCAAAUGUCCCUCCUGAAAAUUAUCCAUGGUGUUUAAAAGAAGUGUAUUCUAGGCUUAAUGAGCUAUUUUCCUCUUUUUUUGAGUUAUAAUGUGAACCACAUAUUUAGAGUUGAAAAGGCGGCAAGGAUUUAAAAAAAAAAAAGAUUCAUUGGAUUGAGUGCACAAUUGUUGAUCAUUAAUUGAUCAACCAGAUACGAGGGACCCCAGUAGGAGCCUGCAUGGUUAUUUUCAAGGGCAAGUAUCACAGUUUGAUACAUCAAAGUUGGCCUUCAAUGGUGUUUUUCACUCAUCUCAUCUAUGAUCAAGACUAGAAAAAAAUGGCAAAAAUAAAAAUAAAAAUCAAGAAAUUAAUAAACCAUUUUGCCUUGUUGGUAUGGAAAAGUCUUAAUAUGUGGCAUAUUUCUAAAAAGAAAAGAUGAUGGGUUCAUGCCAUAAAAGAAAAGAUAGAAAAAGAAGAUCACAGUACGAUACAUAUAAAUUAAAAUCAAAGGUCGUUAAUGAUCAUGAGCUCUCACCAUCGCCAUUAUCAGUGGCCUUCAACACAGUCAAGACGUACUUGAAGAGAGGGAUGAGGGUGAGGGUGUAGAAGAUGAUAGAAAGAACCCCCAGAAUGUCAUCAUUAUGUUUGACACCAUCAGUGAAAGUGCUUGCAUACACGUACAACGGCGAAGUUCCAAUGUCCCCAUACACUAUUCCAAGGCUCUGAAACGCCAGGUGCAGUAUCACAGACCAGUCCUUCGUAUCCUUCAAAACAGAAAUUCAAAAAAAAAAAAAAAAAAAAUCAAAUCUUCUUUCUCCCAGUUGCCAUGCAUAAUAACGAGAAAAUGAUAUCAGGAAAGGGUGGGGGGUACAGACCUUGGAGCCAUGGUGGCUGCGACCAUGUACAGUCCCGGACUCCAUGUCUAGGGAGUCCAUACGACGCAGUUUUCCCCAUGAGAGUUUCUUUGAUUUGAGGCCUUGAUCAUGGGUGUCGUCCGGGCUGUUUACCACAUCAGAAGACAUUUUCUAUGAUCUGAAAAGGGCUUUGAUUAGACCGGAGCGUUUGCAGAAGGUGCAGAGGCCAAUUUAAAGGCACAGAAAGGUCUGAAAACCGCGUGGUUUGAUUUUAUGAAUAAUGAAUGAGUAAACGAGAUUCCGAGAGUGUUUUUUUACCAUUUAUUUUUCAGAUUUAUUGGAAAACGCGUUAUCAGUAAAUAAACUUCCCCCAUAUUAGUCGGAUGGUUGAUAUCAGACCUCUUCUUGCCUUUUCUAAAUUUAUGAUAUUAAUUAAUAUUUACUUUUUGAAGAUACGACUUCUUAUUAUAUUCCUUUACAAAUUUGAAAAUAUUUUUUGAAUUAGUAUAUUACUAAAAAUAUUUUUUAAUUAAUAUAUAUACUUAUAUAUAUUUUUUAAAUCCUCAUGCCUACAAUAAAAAUGAUAUAUCUUCAUGUUUAAAAACCUUUUUCUAUUCUUACGUUUUAAGUGCAAAAACAAUUUUAAUAUUUUUAAUAUUUAAAUAUAAAAAAAUUCAAAUGUUAAAAAGAUUAAAAAAAAACGUUUUUUAAAAUCACUAUGAUUCUAUUUUUUUUUUUACUUUGUUUUCCAUUUUAAAAAUAAAAAUAAACAUUACAAUAAUUCUUUUUUUAAUAAUUAAGUUGAGAAAAAUAUUACAUUUAUAAUUUCUUUCAUCAUUAUUUUUUUUCUAUCAUCACAUUCAUUUAAUUAAUAAAAUUAGAUUUAAUUAAAUUAAAAAAUAAUAAUGAUUUUAAAAAAUAUUUUAAAUCUUUUGUAGUUGGCUAUAUUUAACUGCACAUUAAUAGAUACCCAAAAUUUAUUAUUUAAAAAAAGGUAAUAAAUUAGAGACAACGACAGCGCAACCCUACUCUUGGCUGUGGAAAGGACCAUGUACUCACGUGAUAGAAAGUUGAGAGGUGUCCAACAAAAGACGCGAGUGAAUUGUCCACAUGCAUGGGGGCGAGUAGAACUUUCCAAUGGGGUGAAAAUUCUAAAGCAUCACGUUCAGAUCGGUCAUAGCCACGUGUUACACGCAUUCUUUCUGCAUCAUCACAUAUCACAGGAAGCCUAUCACAGGUUGACCCUAAGACGGAUUGGGUAUAUUCAUGGGCCUUGUUUGGAAAAUAUAAUAUCAAAAAAAUCACAGCAAUCUGAGUUUAAAAAAUAUAAAUUUAAGUAGCUUUUUAAAAAUAAUUAGGAUCUUAACAUUUUAUACACUUUGGUGUACAACCUUUAUCUUUAAUAAUUCAGAUACUACUUUUUAAUGGGAUAAGUUUUAUCUAUUAUAAUUUUAAGUAUCAUCUAUUUUAUGAUUAAAAAAAAGUUAAAUGAACACAAUAGAUAAAGUGAUAAAAAAAAAAAGGACCAUGAAAUGAAACUUCUCCAUAUAAGAAGAUGCAUAAAAAAUAAUAAUUAAAAAGAUAAAAUUAUUGAUCUCUCUCCUCCCCUUCCUAAAAGAGGAAAUUGAUUAUUGUUCUUUUACAUUAUAAAGAUAGAAUUCUUGUCAGAUUUAUGAACAAAUAUAAUAUCUAAUUUUUUUUUCAUAAUGGAAAAGGCGCUCUCUCUCUCAUCCAAAGAAGAGAACAUUGACUAUUGCUCCUUUACAUUCAUAACGAUAGAAUUCUUUAGAAUUCAUUAACUAAUAUAAUGUCUAAUUCUUUUCCAAAAUGGAAAUGGUGGAUUGAAACGUUACCCUACCAAUGCCAAAACUAUCAAAUAAAAUAUGCCUCUUUUUCUCUCUUUCUCAUCCCCUUACUAGAAAAGGAAACUAGUUAUUGCUCUUUUGCAUUAUGGAGAUAAAAUUCUUAUCAAAUUCAUGAACUAACAUAAUGUCUAAUUCCUUUCUGUAAUGAAAAAGGCGCUCUCUCUCUUUCAUCCAAAGAAAAGAACAUUGGUUAUUACUCCUUUACAUUCAUAGAGAUAGAAUUCUUCAGAAUUCAUUAACUAAUAUAAUGUCUAAUUCUUUUCCAAAAUGGAAAUGGUGAAUUGAAACGUUACCUUGCCAAUGCCAAAACCGUCAAAUAAAAUACGCCUCUUUUUCUCUCUUUCUCAUCCCCUUGCUAGAAGAGGAAAUUGGUUAUUGCUCUUUUAUAUCAUAGAGAUAGAAUUCGUGUUGGAUUCAUAAACUAACAUAAUGUCUAAUUCCUUUCAAUAAUACGUGUCAACAGGGGAAUAUCAUGGACGAAUGAUAAAUGUGCACGUUUAUGUGUUUUUGUUUGAUGUCAGAAACUUAUUAGUCAUCUAAUACAAAGAAGAAAUGGUCACAACCUAAUGCAAUCUACGUGCCAAACCUAGAAACCUGGAAAUUGUAAACGUACAAACCUUGAAAUUCAGAACUUCCCAGAUUAUUAGGAAAAUAAAUUACUGGCAAACCUGUAUUGAAGGGACUUCUUGAAUGCUAUCCUCACUGUCAACCAAACUUUAUCGCUGAUAUCUGUUUCAUGUCACAACCAGCUACACCAAAAUGAAAGUGACUUCUUCAUUAGCACUGCAUUCCAUCACAAUAAAAAUUACAGCGUCCUCAAGAUUUUCUUUGACAAUUUACACAAUCUGCACCAUGCUGAGGGGAAGAAUGGUGCAUACAGUGGACAAAAACCUAUUGCCAAAAUUUUUGUGACUUCAUAAUCUUUUCCAUCCCUUGUUUGCUGGACCAGAAAAAUAUAAGUGUUUGCAUAUACGAUCUCUUAAUCAUAGCUUCCAGUUCCAUUCAAAGUUCAAUUGUUGCAAAAUGACCUUACUUGGUUUUGGCAUUUCUUUGGAGCCUGUCAAAAAUUGGAUUUUCUACCAGUUCUUUAGCUGAAGGCCGCCAAACUGGAUUUGGAUCCAGCAUUGCCUGGUAGGAUUAUAUAGGUGCUCUACAAAUGAAAUGAGUAUUUAUCUGGCACAUUAGGUCUUUGCCAUAAAAGAAAUUAGAACAGACAAUUGAUUUUGGGCCUUUGGUUUUGUUCUGCUACUUUCGGUAGCAGUUGUCCAAAAUCAUCCUCUUACUUCGACUCUCAGCAUACUCUCUUCUAUGGGUCGCUCCAGUAUAUAUUAGGUCUUUGUCAUAAAACAAAAUUAGCUUGGUCGGUUGGUUUUAGGCUUUUGUCUUUGUUUUCCUACUUUAGGCAGUGGUUGUCCAACAUCAUCCUCUUGACUCUUGGCAUACUCUCUUCUAUGGGUCAUUCUUCUAAUCUGUUCUCUACAUGUACCAUAUGUUACACCAUGUCUAAGGAGUCCAUACGACGUAGUUCUCCCCAUGAGAGUUUCUUUGAUUUGAGGCCUUGAUCAUGGGUCUCGUCAGGGCUGUUUACCACAUCAGAAGACAUUUUCUAUGAUCCGAAAAGGGCUUUGAUUAGCCUGGAGGGUUAGCAGAAGGAGGAAAGGUCGAUUUAAAGGCACAGAAAGGUCUGAAAGAAGUGCAGAAGAAACGUGAAGUUCAGGGUGGGAGAUGUCGAUGGACAUCUCCCAAAUGUUUGCUUCUUGGUUUUAUGCUUCUUACCUUCUAUGCCCUGCCAUGACUUUUGGUUGACAACCGCGUGGUUGAUUUUAUGAAUUAGUAAAUGAAAUUAUGAGUGUCCUUCCCCAUUUAUUUUCCAAAUUUGUGAAUGGUUGAUAUCAGAAACCAAUAAUUUGUUCUUCAAGUUUUGAAUUUUCUAAAUUUAUAAUAUUUUUUAUGGUAUUAAUUAAAAGAUAUUUUUGGAAAUAUAACUUCCAAUUAUAUUCCUUUACAAAUUUGAAAAUAUUUUUUGAAAAGAUAUAUAUAUAUUAAAUCCUCAUUCCAUAUCUAUACCUUCACUACAAACUUCUUUCUUGUUACCAAGCCUUCCGGAUUGAAUUUUGGCUAAUACAUGCUUGAGAAGAGAAGUACUGUUGCUACAAUUUUUUUUUAGCUAUUCUAGCUAGCUACAAGCAGCCUUAUCACUUUAUACUAAUGGGACUUUUUGUUGAUCAUAGUCUUCCCAUGUUUCAAAGCUCAUAGAUCAUUCCCACUUUCAACAUACGUUUGUGUGGAAUGUCAAACACCUUUUCUGUCUGUCUCAAAUUCUUCUUCAAGAUAUUAUAGCCAACAUUUAUCAAAACUUUUUUCCCUAAUUUGGAGCCCUUCUCUGCAAUCACCUCAUUCUCACCGAUGAAGUGCACCACACCAGCUCGUGCCGCUCUAUCAAUUGCUUCAAUAUCUUUGUCAACAUCCUCUUGGCGCCUUUCUUCAUCAAUUUGCUUUGAUUCUUCACUCUCCUUCUCACCAUUAAUCAACCCAUCUUGCAGCUCUCCAGAAACCAUGUCUUCAUUACUGUGUGUUAAUGUCGGGGUCAUCAUCAUCUCUUCUCUUAUGAACUCCUUCAAUCUUUCAACCAGCAAUCUCUCAAAAGGCUCUUCCUCGGAUCGCACGUCAGUGUACCCAUACCUCACCACACACCGAAACACAUAAAGAUCGUCUGGGUUUACCCUGCGGAAGAGGAAUCGUUCCUCCAUUGGAACCUUGCUUAUGGGGAGAGACUUGAUUGAGACGAAAACAAGAACUGAAUGCAAGGCAGGCACAUUUUCCAUGUAAUGCUUGAAGAUGGGCGGGAUGCCAUGAACAAGCUCAGAGUAGAAGAUGGCCAGUCCUGGUAUUCUACUAAAGUGUGUGCUCGCUACUAAUUCCUUCACCAUCUCAGGAGAAAUCUUGUGAUCCAGAUCAUAAUAGUAUUUCCUCCGGUACACAUCAUUCCAAAUGUACAUUAUGGUCAUCAGAACUAAGGCAAAGGCCAAGGGUAGAUACCCGCCUUGAUCAAACUUGUAAAGGACUGAACUUAGAUACAGAAGCUCAAUGCUACCAAUGACCACAACAUAUGAGAUCACAAGAAGGAUAUGGGUUUUCCAUAUCAUGAUCAUCACAAGAACCAGAAAUGAUGAGGUGAGGGUCAUCACGAACACCACCGCAAUCCCUAUACCAACAAAGACUCAUAAUUAUGAUCAUUUCAAAACAACAUUAAGCUUGAAAAGUUAAAAAAAGGCCAAGAAAUGAAGAUAUGAAACAAGGGUGAACUGUGUGGACUACCAUAUGCAUUUCCAAUCUUUGUAGUAGUCUUGAACCCGAGAGUGACCCCUACACAAGCCAGCAUGAGAAGGUAAUUGACCUCAGGAAUGUACACUUGCCCUUCAUACUUAGUUGAUGUAUGCACAAUCUUUACUCGAGGAAAACACCCCAAUGAGAGUGACUGCUGAAUUAUGGAGAAAGUCCCAGAAAUCAUUGCUUGACUAGCAAUGAUCGACGCGGACACAGCCACAACAAACAUCGGCCAGUACAGACGAUCUGCAACAGAGAAACCUCACCUCAAUGAACCAAUAAAAGAACCAACAAGAAGACAGAAAACAGACUCUAAGACCAGAAUGCUCACGUGGUAUGGACUUGAAGAAAAGAUCACCAACAUCCUCAUGGUGUUUCCGGAGAAAAGAGGCUUGUCCAGUGUAUGCCAAUACAAGAGCAGGGUAUGUGACAGUGCACAUACUUAACUGUAUCGAUUGAACUGUGAAGUGGCCAACAUCAGCAAACAGCGCCUCCGUCCC
This 65972-nucleotide long non-coding RNA is filed under the name Vitis vinifera (wine grape). RNAcentral's name for it is "long non-coding RNA (VVIN_LNC002043)". The record is from RNAcentral. Lineage: Eukaryota; Viridiplantae; Streptophyta; Magnoliopsida; Vitales; Vitaceae.